Molecule: long non-coding RNA, 56419 nt
Filed under: Erythranthe guttata (spotted monkey flower)
Lineage: Eukaryota; Viridiplantae; Streptophyta; Magnoliopsida; Lamiales; Phrymaceae
Description: long non-coding RNA (EGUT_LNC003884)
Source: RNAcentral
AGUAUUGAAACUAGUUCAAUUAAGAUACCUCGCCCUCCUUUAUAAUGGAAACCUCCCUUCUUCCAUUUUCAAACUCUGGAACCUUCAAAACUUGAUUGUUGUUCGACAUCUAAAGAUAGUAAAAUCUAUUGGGAAUCUAUUGUAUCUGCCUAUUGAGAUAUGGAAUAUGAAUGAAUUGAAGUAUCUUUACACCUGCGGAAGAGACCUACCACAUCCUUAUUGUGAAGGAUCUCUCCUACCAAACCUCUUAAACCUAUGUGGUGUCGGUCCUCAAAGUUGUGCCAAAUCUGUGCUCGAAAAAAUCCCUAAUUUGAAGGAGUUGUCGAUUCAUAUCGAGCUGGCUCCAGAUGCUACAGAGCCCUUGACAUGCUUUGAUCACAUUUCCCAUCUCCAUCAACUACAAGAACUAGGAUGUUACAUUAUGAAUCCUACAUUGAAGACAGAUGUUGUUACCCCACUUGUUCCUCUUUCAGACUUCCCAUUAAGUCUUACAAAGUUAUAUUUGAAAGGCUUGGGAUAUCCGUGGGAAGAAAUGAGAAAGAUUUCUUCAUUGCCAAAUCUUACACAUCUCUUCCUGGAAUGCUAUGCCUUUCGAGGCCCAAAAUGGGAGGUUCGUGACAACGAAUUCCAAAGUCUUUUAUGUCUUAAUAUUGAAGACAUCGAUCUCGAGCAAUUGACAUUUCAAAAUUGUCAUUGCCUCCCUGUGAUUGAGAGCCUUCAUAUCUCACAUUGCUACAAGUUAAAAGAGAUCCCUCUCACAUUUGGUAAAUCUCUUGUAAACAUUAAAGUAGUCGAAUGCAACCCUAUGGCUGUGAAAUGUGCAAUCAAGUUAAAAGAGGAGUGGGACGACAAAUAUGCUGGUCGUGAACGUUUGUUAGAACUUGUUGUUCGUUCUUCACUGUAACAAUGGGAACACCAAACCGUGAGUGACUCUACCAUAUCAUUGAUUCUUCAAAAGGUUAGUCGUUAAAUUAAACAAACCAUAAUUUUUUUAGUAUUAAAUUUGAAUUAACAUAUAUAUUUUUUUAUUAUAAUUUCAUCAUACAAUGAAUAUUACCAAAGAUAUACUCGGUAUAUAUGCAUACAUUCUCCUACAAAACAAUAGAAAUAGGCAAUAUAGAUAAAUGGUUGAUAACACAUAUAAUAGGAUCAUAUAAGUUGCGUUUGGAUGAAACAGUUUGAAUUUGCUACAAUAGAGAUAGAUUUUAUUAUAGGGUAAAUUACGAAAACUCCCUGAACUAAGGCUAAAUAAGGAAAAAAAAACCCACCUAUUCGUAAUUACCAAAAACCCCUUAGGUUUGUUUCCGUUUUACACCAACCAUUUACAGUGUGAGUUUUCAAGUAUUUUUUUUUAAUUCCAAGAAAUAGACUUUACACAAUUGCACAUAUUUUCUUUUAUUUCUCACCUAUUAAAUAGAAGGUAUAAUUGUUUGUACAAAUUUUCUGUUAAAAAACUCGAUUAACAGUUAAUCAGAGGGGGAUUCCGGUUAUUACGGAUAGGUGCGGGUGUUUUUCGUUAUUUAGCUUAAGUUCAGGAAGGUUUUCGUAAUUUACGCUUUAUUAUAUUACAAAUUAAUUUAUUUGAUUACUGAUCAAUGAAUUUGCUAUUAUGGAUUUGUAAAAAAAAAUUAACAUCCGAAAUCAUUGAACAUUCUCCUUUAUUACAGGUGUAUCGUCUCAAGUGCCGUAGGCUGAUUGAUCACGAGAGAAAUUACAUCGACAUUGUUUGCAUCAAGGAAUCGGAGGAACGUACUUUCAGUUUUGAGACGGACAAAUCAAAGCGUGUUUGAAUAUUUUGUUAAUGUUAUUUGGUGUGUUUAAUUUUUCUUGAUUGAAUUUUUAUUACAUCUUCAUCAGUUAUAUGUUGUGAGGUUAAAAUUAAGACUAUUGCGCAAUUAAGAAAGUGUAAGUGUGUCGAACAUAUUUGUCGAAUGUACAAGUUUUACCCGUCUCUGCCAAAAAUAGGUAAAGCAGAGAUAGUUACAGAGAUACGAUAACCGAAGUAUAACGAACAUAUACGCAACAGUAAGUCAUAUUUUCCAUCGGAAAAAGAGCCGUGCUGAAUAUCUCUCGAUUUCAUAUUUCAAAGAACUAAAAAGCCCGUCUGUUUUGUUACUUGAAGUUAGGUGGAACAGUAUCUGCUGCAAAAUACUCCUCUUUGACGGUCUUCGCGGAGCAAAAUCUCACCUUACAAAACACAUUGCAAAUUAAAUGAAAAUCGAGGAAUGUUAGAAGCAUAUGCAGUUUCGAAACUAAACGAAACACACGAGAAAAUUAAUCUUAACUGUUGUCUGAAAAAUGUAAAAUAAAUUAACUUGUUAAUUAUCGUAAUGAAUGAAUGCCGAAUAUAUCUUCAUGGUUCUUGAAAAAAAAAAAUCGGAAUCUAAUAUAUACUUCAAUUAUGUUUCGAAAAAUUGGAAAUCGGAACUUUCGGAAUUUAGAUAAAAAAAAUAUUGUUACAAAAUAAAAUAUAUUCAGAUCAGAACUGGCAGAGAGUUACUAGAGAUGUUGCGGGGUAUGGUCUUUUUCUUUUCUUUCUUUUUAGGGGAUUUCGUACAACUUAAAUCAUAACGAGUAGCAAGUCAACGAGUGUUAAGUGUAUAUUUUUACACUUUAUCGUAUCUUUUUAUUUGAGCUUUUGGUGUGUUUUAAUGAUAAUUGGUGCUUAAAAAGUUGAUUUAUUGUAUUUUAGGUACAAAUUGAAGAAUUGGAAAAGUAUGGGGUCAAAAGUGCAAUUUUGGCAAAAAUAUGGGUCAAAAGUGAAAAUAUCAAAAUUCUGAAGAAACAAGGCUCGGACCCCGUCCCAGUUUUAGUGCAAAUUAUGGGACCCCCGUCCCAUAACCCGAAGUUGCGCGGUAAAGGAAUUUUAAUUGCACAAGGAAACUGCCUUCUUCCCCAAGUUCUUCACCCUAUAUAAGACCAAGCCAAGCACACAAUUGGGGAUCCAUCUUUGGACGCAAAUUCAAGAGCAUAGAAGAUCAACGAAGAUUCAAGCAUAGUUUUUCUUAUUUAAUUUAUUUCUUUUAUUUUCUUUAUCAUAAGAAUCACGAGUAGCUAAGUCUUUAUUUCUAGGAUUUUAUUUGGAACCCUAUGUGGGAUUUAUGAACCCAAUUCUAUGAUUUUAUGCAAGUUUUAAUUCCGGAUUAUUUCUUCUACUUGUUUUAUUAAGUUCAUGAAACUGGCCACUUUAUGCGCUUUUAUGUUAUUGUUAAUCGCAUGAAUCGGAAGAUCGGGUUAAUAAUUAGAACUGUGGUAGAAGAGCCUUUGUGGUAUUAACAUAGGAAUAUAGUUAAUCUCUUAGGUAGCCAUUAUUGAGAUUUGUGUUUAAUGUUGUGUUCUAGAAUUAAUUGCAUAGGAAUAUAGUAAUUGAAUCUAGAGUAUUAGAAUCGUAAUACACGCGGAAGCGGGUUAUGAUUAUUUUAGCAUCUCAGGUUAAUAAUCCGGGUUAAUUGCUUGCAUAAUUGAAGGAAUUGGGGGAGUAAUAAUCACAUAGGGGGAAGAAUAAAAUCCUAGGCUCGUUUACUUUGAUUAAAUCUUCGUUUUAAUUGCUUUCUUGUUUUUGUCUUUUUAAUUGCUUUAGUUUAAUUUAGUUUAUUAAUCCUUUUUCGACUGUGUAGGGUGGGCUUGAUAAUAAUUGGUAGAAUUUAGCGUCUAGGAUUAGAUAAUUAAAUAUUCCCUGUGGGUUCGAUAUCCGGACUUUUAGUCCACUAUAUUACUUGUACGAUACGUGCACUUGCGUGUAGGUUUUCGCCCAACAAGUUUUUGGCGCCGUUGCCGGGGAUUAUUUUAAUUAUUUAUUUUAUUCUAGCUCUAAAUUUGAACAAUUUUCACGAUUCACCCAAAUUAAUUUUUUUUAAUUUUAUCUUUUCGUUUUAAUUUUUUUUAAUAUAUUUUUUUUCUUUGGUUACAUGUCAGGUUACAAUUUUCGCGCACCUCAAACGGGAUAUGAAUGGCUUCCGUCUGGCGAAUACCUCCAAAAUACCUAUGAUAUGCCGUUACUUUGUUCAAUAUGUGGUGGAGAUCAUUACAGUAACCACUGUUGGUAUGCACCGAAGGCGAAUAAUUUCACAGAUAAUACCAACGACGGUUAUUGGAACACAUACACCAACACGUACGAGCAGAGCGUUCCAAGCCAAGGUUUCCACAAUUUUCAACAUCAAGAGCCGCAAUUUGAUGAUUUUCAACCCUAUUAUGCAAGGCCACGAGAACCCACUAUUGAGGAGUGUUAUAGGAAAUCCAUCCUUGAAGAUUUUAUGAAAUCCACUCAAGCAUCUAUCCGAAGACUGGAAAUAAUGUUGGAAGAGAUGAAGCUCAAGAGGUCUCCUGAAAAUAUUUCAGACAAUAUCGAGAAUGGUUGCAACAAACAAAAUCCGUCUACAACUUAUAGUGAGAAAAAUUCUUUAGACCUAGAAAAUAUUGUCGAUGAGAAGGAAAAGGAACUUACGAAGACGCUUAAGGAUGAUGAAUAUGAGAAUGCAAUCGAGCUCAACUCCAAAGAUGUCUCGGAACAAGAGAAGAAGGGGAUGGAUGUGGUUAGUGCAAAUAUUCAAAUUGAUGAUCUUAUUGUUAUUCCUGACGUGGCUUUGAAGGCAUCAAUAGAGGUUGAUGAGAAGACGAAUGUGUUUGAAGUGGAGGUUAUACGCGGACGUGAGAUUUUUGUGUACCGAUUUGAGGGAGCGGGUGAUGAAGACCCCAUCUUGGCUUCGUACCGAUUGAUUACAACCAAGAAAAUUUACAAGCUAAAGUGGACCCUGACAUAUUGCAAUCCUAUCCCUGUAUCGGUUGCAAUUGAAGUGACAAAGCUCAUGGAUGGGUGCGCAAUCUACAAGGCUUUGGAUUGGACAUAGCGAUUUCAAGAAGCAAAGUCUGGCUGAAGACUUUAAACUUAGCGCUUCUCGGGAGGCAACCCGAGCUUUAUUGUUUUUCGUAGUUUUCGUUAAUUUUUUCGUUUCGUUUUUUUUUAUUGUCAUAAGAAUGCAUUAUAAUUCACUAUUUGAAUUUUACUUUUCAGGGUCGAAAAUGUGAUCGAGGGUCGAGUCGGCUGUCCGAAAAAAAAAAUAAAUAAAUAAAAUAAAAUAAAAUAAAAAAAUAAAAAUUGCACCACUGCCUGUGGGACGGCCGUCCCACAAAUAGGUGUAAAUGUGGGACCCCCGUCCCACAACCAGUAAGGAGAAAAAAUUUCGGACGACCGUCCGAAAUUUAGCACAAAAACCGGGACGGCCGUCCGAACCUAGUUGGGGCGUUUUAAAUGUUUAAAAAUCAGAUUUUCUCCCCCAUUAUUUCCUAAACCCUCCUCGUUCUUUUUCUCAAACUCUCACACACAAAAGGAAGCUAGAGAAUCAAACCAAAUUCUCCAAAAUCUACUCUUUCAAGGCACGCCCACAAGGUGUUCGAUAAUUUGCUCCAACCAAAUUUUGAGUUCGAUUGUCAACCAAUUCUUACCGAAUCUAUUCCAACCUCUCUCCCAACUUUCUUGUCCAACAAAAGAAGCCGCACGAGUGAAGCUUCAUCUUCUAAAGGCAAAGGAAAAGGCAAGAAAAGUGCCACCAAAACGACGAUUCCUCUUCCAAAGCCGCUCCUCAAGCCCGAGACGACCCCGAAGCCUCAAGCUCCCGUGCCGAUCGACGAUUCCAAAUGAAGAUGGAGCGAGAGAGCUUUCCGAUGAGGACGAGCGUGAGAGAGCGAGAGAGGAGCACCCCGAUCACAUCGACUCCGAAUAAAUCAGGUGUUUUCUAUCCUUAAACUUUGUGCUAAUUUCGUUGAGGGCAACGAAAAUUUUAAGUUUGGGGGUGAAAAACAUGUUAUUUUUGUGCUUAUUUGUUUUAGUUUGCAUGCAUUAGGUUUUAUUCGUUUUUAUUGUUUUUCUCGUUUUUCCGGAAUAUAAAAAAAAAAAAAAAAAAAAAAAAAAAACAUUGCUUGAGUCGAAUGCAUCGAUGAUUUAUGAUGAUGAGAGAUGAUCAAUGUUUGAUGAUGAGAUUGCUUGUUUUGUGUGAUAAGGAUUUGAUGUUUGUUUAGAUUUCGAUUCAACGGGACUUAGAAGCGAAUUAUUGCUAGGAAUCACAUUUUGUGCAUUGCUUUGGUUGAAUGUUUUGUAUUUUAAAUUUGGAAUUAAUUUGUGCUAGAUCAUGUUAUGUUCGGUUUUAAGACUCACCUUAGGAAAUUUAUGAUACGAAGUAUUGAGUAGUGAGUGAUUUGGGAUAUGAUUUGGGCCUUCUUUGAACCGUUUGAGCCUUUCAAGCCGACCUUUUUAUCGAAAUUAUCCUUAGAACCUUGUUUUGAGCCUCGGAGAAAAGGUGUUCUUUCUUUUAGCCAAUGUGUAAGGUAGAAUAGGUGGAGAUUCUUGAAAAAAUUAUCCCUUGGAGUUCGGUCGAAAUUUUUUUAAGGUCCUUCUUCUUCUUCUUCUUCUUCGAAAAAAAAAAAAAAAAAAAAAGAGAAAAAAGAAAGAAGACAAAUAUCUAUGCUUCUAUAUAAAAAAAAAAAAAAGAGAGAGAGAGAGAGAAAAAAGAAGAAGAAGAAGAAGAGACUAGAAGGGAGAAAUAAGGACUAGUUGGUGAAUUAUUUUUGAAAACUCGAUCCCUUGCCUCAAAAGCAAAAGUGGAGACUUUUGAACUUUUGAGAAUCGAGUUUACUAAAGUCCGUAGAGGUGAAUUCAUUGUUUCAAACGCCUAUCUUUCAAAUUUUGGCGUAAUCACCUAAUUUCAAGAAGAAUAGCCACAUAUACCCAUAUUUCCUACCUCGAACCAAAGAGCCUAACAAUUGAAAGCCACAAAGCCCCAAUGAUCCCAAUAGCUUAAUGUUCGAUAUUAGUAGAGUAGAAUAAUUUGGUGAGUAUUUGGAGUCAACCAUAUGCAUGUAAGUAUAAAUUCUUUCUAUCUUUAAUUUGCAAAUAUUGGAUGCUUGAAGCAAUUGUAUGAAUUGUGGUUUUGGUAAUGGUGAGUGACUAAGUGUUGUUGAAUUUUGAGCUUGCGAAUGCCUAAGAAUUGUCAUUAUAAUUACAAGUUCUGAAAACGUGAAGUUGAUCAUUGAUCUAUGUGAUGAGAUGUAAUAGUUGAGUUAUUUGCUUAUUGGUAGAUUUUGCUUGAGGACAAGCAAAAGUUCAAGUUUGGGGGUGUGUUAAGUGUAUAUUUUUACACUUUAUCGUAUCUUUUUAUUUGAGCUUUUGGUGUGUUUUAAUGAUAAUUGGUGCUUAAAAAGUUGAUUUAUUGUAUUUUAGGUACAAAUUGAAGAAUUGGAAAAGUAUGGGGUCAAAACUGCAAUUUUGGCGAAAAUAUGGGUCAAAAGUAAAAAUAUCAAAAUUCAGAAGAAACAAGGCUCGGACCCCGUCCCAGUUUUAGUGCAAAUUAUGGGACCCCCGUCCCAUAACCCGAAGUUGCGCAGUAAAUGAAUUUUAAUUGCACAAGGAAACUGCCUUCUUCCCCAAGUUCUUCACCCUAUAUAAGACCAAGCCAAGCACACAAUUGGGGAUCCAUCUUUGGACGCAAAUUCAAGAGCAUAGAAGAUCAACGAAGAUUCAAGCAUAGUUUUUCUUAUUUAAUUUAUUUCUUUUAUUUUCUUUAUCAUAAGAAUCACGAGUAGCUAAGUCUUUAUUUCUAGGAUUUUAUUUGGAACCCUAUGUGGGAUUUAUGAACCCAAUUCUAUGAUUUUAUGCAAGUUUUAAUUCCGGAUUAUUUCUUCUACUUGUUUUAUUAAGUUCAUGAAACUGGCCACUUUAUGCGCUUUUAUGUUAUUGUUAAUCGCAUGAAUCGGAAGAUCGGGUUAAUAAUUAGAACUGUGGUAGAAGAGCCUUUGUGGUAUUAACAUAGGAAUAUAGUUAAUCUCUUAGGUAGCCAUUAUUGAGAUUUGUGUUUAAUGUUGUGUUCUAGAAUUAAUUGCAUAGGAAUAUAGUAAUUGAAUCUAGAGUAUUAGAAUCGUAAUACACGCGGAAGCGGGUUAUGAUUAUUUUAGCAUCUCAGGUUAAUAAUCCGGGUUAAUUGCUUGCAUAAUUGAAGGAAUUGGGGGAGUAAUAAUCACAUAGGGGGAAGAAUAAAAUCCUAGGCUCGUUUACUUUGAUUAAAUCUUCGUUUUAAUUGCUUUCUUGUUUUUGUCUUUUUAAUUGCUUUAGUUUAAUUUAGUUUAUUAAUCCUUUUUCGACUGUGUAGGGUGGGCUUGAUAAUAAUUGGUAGAAUUUAGCGUCUAGGAUUAGAUAAUUAAAUAUUCCCUGUGGGUUCGAUAUCCGGACUUUUAGUCCACUAUAUUACUUAUACGAUACGUGCACUUGCGUGUAGGUUUUCGCCCAACAACGAGCCAAAGAAAAACCGGAACGUUAACAGAAGAAAGUCGCAAGAAUCAAACGAACUAAGAAGAGAAAAACAAUCAGUUACGAAAACUCCUAUGGGAGCUGAAGAAGCAACAUUCGCCUUGAGAGCGUUGAUCUACACCUUCCACCACAAUCGACCCUUUUCAAUUCACCGGAAAGAAAGUUCAGAAAUUUAGUUCCAAUUUCAACCCUUAAUUGGAACUAACCAAGCAGCUUACCGAUGGAACUUUUAAGGAAAAAAUACAAAUAAAACGAAAAAAAGGAUACACAGUUGUAAUAUUACAAUAACCAGUAAAAAUUUCAGUUUUAUUUAUAAAAUUCUCAUUUUCAAUCUAUCUACUAGUGCCGAUAAUUUAUUUUAUGUCGGUUUUUACUUGAAAAUUAAAAAUAUACGACUAAGAACAUAUUUAGAAUCAACAUAGAAUAUUAAUUGACACGAUAAGAUAGUACGUUGAUAAAUACUUUACAAUUAUGACUUAUUUGGUCAUGGAUUCGAGACUUCGAGUACUCGAACGGAAAUCGAGAAACCAAUGACUAUCCUCAUUAAUGAAGACAAAAACAAAUUAUAGAAUAUUAAAUUUAUAGAAUUUAAUGUAAUAUUGCAAUAUAAAACUAAUAAUAGUGGAUCGAUUAUAAUAUUAAUAGAUUUUAAAAUUAUGGAUUAAAAAACAAUUAUAUUAGUCUAAUAUUAAUUGAAGACAUUAUAUUGGGGGCCCUAUAGAUCAUGGCCCUCUUCCCCUGUCUACUUUUAACAACCUUUACAAGAAAAAGAAAAACCCUUAAAAAAAGAAAAACUCAGAAACUUAUGGGCCAUUAUUUAAUAAGUUAAAAUUGCGAGUACCAAAGCUUUGAUUCUAUAUUUUCUGUAUGGAGCCUAUUUAUUGUCUAUGCACUUCUAUAUUUUAUUUCCAAUAUUUUAUUAUUUGACGUAACAUUAUAAACUUACAUUUUUUUCUCAAUAUUUUAUUAUUUAAUUGUCAAGAUAAAAUUAAUUAAAAUAAGAUUAUAAUUUUUUGUGACUCAUUGUAUAAUUAAAACUAUGGGAGGUCCAAUACUCAAUUCUUCGUAAACUUAUAUUUUUGUAAUUAUGGGUUGGCCCGAAAAAUAAUUGACUAAUUGAACAUUAAAUAAAACUUGAUUAUUUAAUUAAUUUUAAUAUAGGCAAAAUACAGUUUUAGUCCCUCAUAUUUGUACCGAUUUCACAUUUGGUCCUUAAUGUAAAAAAAACACAUUUGGUCCCUCAUGUUUCAACACUUUUAGUCAUUUCCGUCAAUUUUUCGUUAGAACUAACGGAAUCAGACGUGUCUCUAUCACUGCCUUAACUGACGGAGUAGCAGUAAAUUGACGAAAAAAGACCAAAAGUGUUAAAUUAUUGAAACAUGAGGGACCAAAUGUAUUUUUUUGUGAACAUUGGGGAUCAAAUGUGAAAUCGAUGCAAACUUGAGGGGUGAAAAUUGUACUUUCCCCAAUUUAAUAUAUAAUAUCAAUGAGGAUAUAUAGCUUGAUUAUUGAAAAAUCAUGUCUAGACCAGACAAUGCUUUAAGUCCAAGUUAAAGUUGAGGAUAUUAAAAAAAAAUAUAGCUGAAAUGGCAAAUUUAUAUGCUUAAAUAUUUAAUUAAGCAACAAUCAUUGAAUCACAUUGAAAUUCAUUAUUCCGCAUAAAUGGGUGAUUUAACAACAUUUAAAAUACAAAAAAAAAGAAAAUGACAAUGGAUAAAUUUGUGAUUUGUUCAAAAAAAUAUUCAAUAUAUUUAUACUUAUAAAUAAAUUACAAAGACAUAAAUUGUAUGUACGUAAUUUUCCUAAAGGAUAAAUUUCUAUAUAUUUUCUUACAAAAGAACUCGUAACAACUUAAUUCUUCGUACAAUAGCUUGCAAACCACACAAGAACCCAAUGAGUUUUAUUUAAUUUUGAACUAACUAUUUAAAUUAGUUAUAAAUUGGCAAUUAUCUAAUUCUUUUUUAUGGUGUAUGAUCAUGUGCAAAAACCCAAUGGGUCUCGUGAUUAGAUUCCCUAAUAGACAUACUUGUAAGAUAAUUUAAGUAAAAUAUAAUGUUAAAAAAAUUGCAUGCCAAAAGUCACGUGCCACGCAACAUGUGUUAACAAAUCCAAAUUAUAUUCUCUAACAUUAACCUGCUGUCACGCGACAUCAUGUGAUCCCACGAUUUACUUACAAUUUUUUUAAAAAUAAUAUAUUUUAUAUAUAUGAAAACACAAAACAAUAUCUUUUUUAUGUACUAAAUUUAGACUUCAUUUGAUUACUACGUGCCAUCAAUAAGUCAAAAUGGGCAUCCAUUUAUGAAGACAGACAAAAAAAGGAAUUGAUGCGGUGACGGAGUCGGCAUAGAGCCGAAGGGGGCCAUGGCCCCUAUAAUAAUUCUUAAAUUUCUAUUUUGUAUAUAACUAUUUAGAAAAAUUCUUGUAUAAUUAGUAUUAUCGGCUCUCCUCAUAAAAGUGUUAAUAUACUUUGGUAUUCGCGAACUUAAAAUCCUGAUUGAACGAUAUAUUAAGAUAUAAAAUAACAAGUUUAAUACAAUUAUUAAUGAAAGAACUCUUCUUGGUCAUGUUACUUCUUAAAAUAAUUAAGAGCUGAAGAAUUAAUUUUUUUUUUUUUUUGCAGUAUCCAUUUUACAAUAUACUAUUUCAUAAUUUUAUAAAAUUAAAUUCAAGAUUAAAAUUUAUUUUACAAACAUAUCAACUUCUAAGUUAAUUCAAGAUUAAAAUUUAUUAAAACUACAUAAUUGACAUUGAGAGAGAGAAAAGGAGAGAGAAGCAUACGUUGGAUGUUAGAUAUUUUUUAAAAGGAUAAAUUUCACUUGUUGGAUGUUAGAUAUUUUUUAACAAGAUAAAUUUCACUUUCCCCCUUGUUGGAUGUUAGAUAUUUUUUAACAAGAAUUAUUAUAGGUGUUGGACAAAAAUGGAUAUCUUUAAAUAUAUGGAUGAAAAUAUUCAGCGUUUCAAUUUUUCUUCCUUUCACAUUUGUCAUUGAAAAAUUAACCAUUGAGUUUCUCCUUAAAUAACUUUUGAGUUUCUCCUUAAAUCAAUCUUCUUCUCUUAGAUAAUUCUCUUGCAUAGUUAUAAUUUCACAAACAAAUGCUUAUGUAGAAGAGUUGUUCCAUAUUUCCAGUUAACUGAAAUUAGUUGUGUGAGAUCUGAGAGAGAGAGAUAGAGAGAGAGAGAGAGAGAGAGAGAGAGAGAGAGAGAGAGAGAGAGAGAGAGAGAGAGAGAGAGCAUUGAAAGAGAUGGCUUAUGGUUCCUUAAAAGAAGCUCUCAGAGUAUUCGAUAAAAAGAGGAGCACCAUCAACAUGAAGAUGGUGAAAAGUUUGGAGGCGGAAAUGGUAGAGGCAAUAUACAACUUCGAAGAUGUAAUCGACCCUCAUCUCUCAAAUCAGUUCCAUUCACAAUCUGAAGCAGAAGAAGAGACGGCCGAUCAUCCUCCAUCAAUGGUAUUCUCAGUAGAUGUGCAGGAAAUAAAGCAAGAUGUCGAUUCCUUUAUCGAAACAAUGAACAAGAUGAAGAGGGCCUAUAUCCACGAAUUACACAAUCCCUCACCUGAAGAAGAUGAUGAUGAUGAUUUUGUGGCAUCAAAAACUCAUUUUCGGGGAAAUGAGCCUAUCAUGGUUGGAUUAUCUGAUAUAUUUAUGUCAAUAGAAAAUUGGCUUAAUUCCUCAAAUUCUGAAAGGAUUAUUGUGUCGCUGGUCGGGAUGGCUGGCAUUGGUAAGACUACUCUUUCCAAGAAACUCUUUCAUGAUCCAUUCAUUGUGAGUUGUUAUAGCAGGCUCGUGUUCGUGACCAUAGGCCCUAAAUAUCGUCUAGCGGAUAUCUUGGUGGAUAUUCUAACACAAGUGAAUCCCGACUUUGAUGAAAUAAUGCUUAUGAAAGGAGAAAAAGUAUUAGCUGGAUUGAAAAGGAUGGUUUACGAAAGUUUAAAGUAUUUGAGUUACUUGAUCGUGUUGGAUGAUGUAUGGGAAAUAGACCUCUGUUCUGUGUUGUUGGAGUUAUUUCCAGAUGACAAAAAUGGAAGUCGAGUGUUGGUCACAACUAGGAUGAAAAAAGUAGCUGAUUGUGCUAAGCCUUUGAAUAUUUGCAAAAUACCCUUCCUUGAUAAGAAAGAAAGUUGGGAUCUUCUUCGCGAGAAGGUGUUUGGUGAAGAAGAACCGUGCUCUUAUAGACUUGAGAAAGCUGGAAAGAAGAUUGCCGAGAAUUGUGAAGGUCUUCCUCUUACAAUCAUCACGGUUGCCAAUAUCCUGUCAAAAGUUGACAAGACAAUAGAGUACUGGAACGAGGUAGCGGAUGAUAAACAAAAUUCAGUAUAUAAGGAUGCAUAUGAACAAAUGUCAAAGGUACUAUAUCCAAGCUAUGACUACUUAGAUCAACAUUUAAAAGCAUGUUUUCUCUACAUUGGAGCUUUCCCACAAAAUUAUUUACUAGACCAGUCCCAACUAGCCAACUUGUCGAGUGCUGAAGGAUUUCUUAACUCAGAAUCAGUGCAUUACUAUGAGGAGACCAUGGAUUAUGCAUAUGAUAGCUUUGGAUAUUGUGAUGACCUUUAUGCCACAAAUGUUAUCAUGUUCGACAAUGAAACAUUUGAUUUUUACCUUCAUUCGUCCUUUUGGUACUUGUGUAACAAAGAAGCUGCCAGGACCAAGUUGUUCUAUGCCUUAAAUUGCCAUGGCGAUACUCUACCGGAAGAAGGUAUAGAAAGCCAGCGCCGAUUGUGCAUCCGUAAUAAUAUUCUACUUGCCAUCAAAGAUGUGCACAACUCAAUUGCAUCUGAUUCAAAGGUACGAUCUCUCCUUUGUACCGGUUAUUUUCAUAAAUAUCCAGUACCGCUGUUUUUGGAACAUUUGAGGUUGCUGAGGGUAUUGGAUGCUCUUUCUAUUAGAUUCUAUGAGUUCCCGAUAAAAGUAUUGAAACUAGUUCAAUUAAGAUACCUCGCCCUCCUUUAUAAUGGAAACCUCCCUUCUUCCAUUUCCAAACUCUGGAACCUUCAAUACUUGAUUGUUAUUCAACAUCCAAGGAUAGUAAAAUCUGUUGGGAAUCUAUUGUAUCUGCCUAUUGAGAUAUGGAAUAUGAAUGAAUUGAAGUAUCUUUACACCUGCGGAAGAGACCUACCACAUCCUUGUUGUGAAGGAUCUCUCCUACCAAACCUAUUAAAACUAGGUGGUGUCGGUCCUCAAAGUUGUGCCAAAUCUGUGCUCGAAAAAAUCCCUAAAUUGAAGGCGUUAUCGAUUGAUAUCGAGCUGGCUCCUGAUGCUACAGAGCCCUUGACAUGCUUUGAUCACGUUUCCCAUCUCCAUCAACUACAAGAACUAAGAUGUUACAUUAUGAAUCCUACAUUGAAGACAGAGGUUGUUACCCCACUUGUUCCUCUUUCAGACUUCCCAUUAAGUCUUACAGCGUUAGUUUUGAGUGGCUUAGGAUCUCCGUGGGAAGAAAUGAGAAAUAUUUCUUCAUUGCCAAAUCUUACACAUCUCGAACUGAAAUUCUAUGCUUUUCGAGGCCCAAAAUGGGAGGUUCGUGACAACGAAUUCCAAAGUCUCUUAUAUCUUGAGAUUGAAGACAUCAAUCUGGAGCAAUGGACAUUUCAAAAUUGUCUAUGCCUCCCUGUGAUUCAGGGCCUUCACAUCGCACAUUGCUACAAGUUAAAAGAGAUCCCUCUCACAUUUGGUAAAUCUCUUCUAAGCAUUAAAAUAGUCGAAUGCAACCCUAUGGCUGUGAAAUGUGCAAUCAAGUUAAAAGAGGAGUGGGACGACAAAUAUGCUGGUCGUGAACGUUUGUUAGAACUUGUUGUUCGUUCUUCACUGUAACAAUGGGAACACCAAACCGUGAGUGACUCUACCAUAUCAUUGAUUCUUCAAAAGGUUAGUCGUUAAAUUUUUAUAUCUAUCGAAAAUACUAAUAUUUUAGUCAAUGCCCAUUCAGGUAAAAGGAAUUAAACAACCUUAAAUUUUUUAGUAUUAAAUUUGAAUUAACAUAUAUAUAUUUUUUAUUAUAAUUUCAUCAUACAGUGAAUAUUACCAAAGAUAUACUCAGUAUAUAUGCAUACAUUCUCCUACAAAACAAGAGAAAUAGACAAUAUAGAUAUAUGGUUGAUAACACAUAUAAUAGGAUCAUAUAAGUUGCGUUUGGAUGAAACAGUUUGAAUUUGCUACAACAGAGAUAGAUUUUAUUAUAGAGUAAAUUACGAAAACUCCCUGAACUUAGGCUAAAUAACGAAAAAAACCCACAUAUUCCUAAUUACCAAAAACCCCUGAGGUUUGUUUCCGUCUUACACCAACCCUUUACAGUGUGAGUUUUCACGUAUUUUUUUUAAUUCCAAGAAAUAGACUUUACACAAUUGCACAUAUUUUCUUUUAUUUCUCACCUAUUUAAUAAAAGGUAUAAUAGAUUGUACAAAUUUUCUGUUAAAAAACUCGGUUAACAGUUAAUCAGAAUGGGAUUUCGGUUAUUACGGAUAGGUGGUGGUGUUUUUCGUUAUUUAGCCUAAGUUCAGGGAGGUUUUCGUAAUUUACGCUUUAUUAUAUUACAAAUUAAUUUAUUUGAUUACUGAUUAAUGAAUUUGCUAUUAUGGAUUAAAAAAAAAAAUUAACAUCCGAAAUCAUUGAACAUUCUCCUUUAUUACAGGUGUAUCGUCUCGAGAGCCGUAGGCUGAUUGAUCACGAGAGAAAUUACAUCGACAUUGUUUGCAUCAAGAAAUCGGAGGAACGUACUUUCAGUUUUGAGACGGACAAAUCAAAGCGUGUUUGAAUAUUUUGUUAAUGUUAUUUGGUGUGUUUAAUUUUUCUUGAUUGAUUUUUUAUUACAUCCUCAUCAGUUAUAUGUUGUGAGGUUAAAAUUAAGACUAUUGCGCAAUUAAGAAAGGUGCACGUGUGUCGCACAUAUUGUCGAAUUUACAAAUUUUACUCGUCUCUGCCAAAAAAGGUAAAUCAAAGAUAACUACAUACAUACGAUAACCGAAGUAUAAGGAACAUAUAUGCUAGUUAGUCAUAUUUUCCUAUCGGAAAAAAGCCGUGUUUAGUCUCUUGAUUUCAUAUUUCAAAGAACUUAAAAAAAGCCCUCUGUUUCAUUACUUGAAGUUAGGUGUAAAAUACUCCCCUUUGACAGUUUUCGCGGAGCAAAAUCUCACCUUAGAAAACACAUAGCAAAUGAAAAGAAAAUCGAGGAUUGUUAUAAGCAUAUGCAGCCUCGAAACACAAUAUCAAACAUCAAAUAAAACGAGAAAUGGAGGGUUGCGUAUUUAUGAAAUUCCUCUUAAAAUUCUACAUUUACAUGGAUGGGGGUAUCUUUUCUCUGUCAUGUGCGGUGCACAUGCUGUUUUCCGUCAAACAACCCCACCCCCAACACAACUACUCUCCAUGAAAGCUCUCUAAUGGUGCAUCAACCGUUGCACACAUUCGGGAGCCGUCGUCUACCUGCAAUUGCAAACGUCUGGAUCUUGACGUCGUGAGGGAGGUGCGGUGGUUAUGAUGGCGGCGGCUGUGGUGGAGGUGGUUUUGGAGUCGAUUUAGAUCUAUUUUGUGCUGCCGACUUCCAAGCGACGCCGUUUCGGAGUUCGAGUGCUGGUUGGAGGUGAGGCCGACGAUGCCGUUUCGGGGUAGAAAUCGAGAUUGUUGUUUUCUGAUGACGAAGACGUCGGAGAUGGUGUGAAGCUGGUUGAGUGAACAUUUUUGUUUAUUUUGGAGAAGAUGGCUUUUUUGAAAAGGUCAAGGAUUGAAUUGAAUUUUUUUUUAAUAUAGAAUUUUGGGGUGAAUCUGUAAUUUUUGAAAUUUAUAAUUAGUAGGGCAUUUUGGUCCUUUCGGGUUUAAAAUACACCCAGUCGCACAAUCCGCAUGUGGAGCACACGAUAAGCUGGCAGGGCCCUUGUUGCCUUUGACUAAUUUUCAUACGGCGCUAUUGCUAAUUCUUUUAACAUGAGGAUUUUUUUAGCAAUUUGAAAUUAUACAGGGGUGGUUUUUGCAAAAAAAAAAACAUAAUAGAAUACAACCUGUUCAUUAGAAAAGUUAAUUAAUGGGCGACAUGGAUUAAUAAAUAAAUAUUCCUUUGCACAUGCUUCCAGAGCAAUAACUUCAACAAACAAUGCCUAUGAAGAAAUUUAUUCAAAAAAAAUCAGAUGCUGACAGUGAUUUGUCAAACAGAGAGAGAGAGAGUUGAAAGAUGGCUUAUGGUGCUGUUUCUUCUCUUGAGCUGACAAUUGAGCGCCUUUUGAAUUCAUCACAUCUUCCGAUUGUUCAAAAUUCAUCCCCACAAAUCCUAAAACAUAUGUAUGAGAAUAUUCUUUCCUUAAAAGAAGAUCUGGGAGAAUUCGACAAAUGGAGGAGCACCAUUAACAUGAAGAUGGUAAAAAAAUUGGAGGCGGAAAUGAUAGAUGCUGUAUACAGAUUUGAAGAUGUAAUAGAAUCUCAUGUCUUAAAUCAGUUCCACUCAACACAAUCCGAAGAAGCUGGGAGUGAUCAUCCACCAUUAACGGUAUACUCAGUAGAUGUGGAGGAAAUAAAGCAAGAUGUCGAUUCCUUUAUCGAAACGGUGAACAUUAUGAAGAGGGCCUACAUUCAUGAGUUACGCAACCCUUCUCCCGAAGAAGAUGAUGAUUUUGUCCCGACAAUAACUGAUUUUGGUGGAAAUGAGUCUAACAUGGUUGGAUUGUCCGAUCUAUUUAUGAGAUUCAGAGAUUGGCUUAUUUCCCCACACUCUGAAUUGAUAGUUAUGUCGCUCGAUGGGAUGGCUGGCAUUGGUAAGACUACUCUUGCCAAGAAACUAUUUCAAGAUCCGUUCAUUGCGAGUCAUUAUAGCAGGCUUGUGUUCGUGACAAUAGGCCCUAAAUAUCGAUUAGCGGACAUCUUGGUGGAUAUUCUCACACAAUUGAAUAAUGCUGACAUUGAUGAAAUAAUAUGGCUUACGAAAGGAGAAGAAUUAUUACAUGAGCUGAAAUGGAAGGUGUGCGAAAGUUUAAGUGAAUUGAGAUACUUGAUCGUGUUGGAUGAUGUAUGGUACACGGAUCUCUGUUAUGAGUUCGCCAACGUAUUUCCAGACGACAAAAAUGGAAGUGUAGCAUUACUGACUACUAGGCUAACAGAAGUAAGUAAAUGUGUCCACCCUUUGAAUUCUCACAGACUACCCUUCCUUGAUAAGAAAGAAAGUUGGGAACUUCUUCGUCACAAGGUGUUUGAUGCAAUGCCUUGCCCUCGUGAACUCGAGAAAUCUGGAAAGAAGAUUGCGGAGAAUUGUGAAGGUCUUCCACUUACAAUAGUUACAGUUGCCCACAUCCUUUCCAAAACUGACAAGACUUCGGUGUACUGGAACCAGGUAGCUAAUGAUAAACAAAAUUCGGUUUACAAGGAUGCAUAUGAUCAAAUGUCCAAUGUACUAUAUCCAAGCUAUGACUAUUUACCUCAACAUUUGAAAGCAUGCUUUCUCUACUUAGGAGCUUUCCCACAAGAUUAUAUGGUGUGGAGGCGCCAACUGAUCGACUUGUGGAGUGCUGAAGGAUUUCUUAACCGAAAAUCAACCAUGACUUCAACUGAUUAUACGUUUGCUUAUGUAGGAGCGCUUCUUUCAAAUAAUGUUAUCAUCUACAAUGAAGAAAAGUUUAUAUAUCACCUUCAUUAAUCAUUUUGGUACUUGUGUAACAAAGAAGCUGCCAAGAAUAAGUUUUUCGAUGCAUUCAAUUGUCUUGCCGAUGCUCUACCAAAAGAAGGUAUAAACUACCAGCUGCGCCGAUUGUGCAUCCGAAAUAAUGUUCUACUUGCCAUUGAAGAUGCGCACGAUUCAAUUGCAUCUGCUUCAACGGUACGCUCUCUCCUAUGUACCGGUCCAUAUCAUCAAUAUCCUGUACCAUUUUGUUUGGAACAAUUAAGGUUGCUCAGGGUAUUGGAAGCUCUUUCUAUUAAAUCCUAUGAGUUCCCAAUGGAAGUGUUGAAACUAUUGCAGCUAAGAUACCUCGCCCUCACUUACGAUGGAAACCUCCCUACUUUCAUUUCCAAACUAUUCAACCUUCAGUACUUGAUUGUUCAUCAUCAGUACCGGAUCGUAAAAUCUGUUGGGAAUCCAUAUUAUCUGCCUAUUGAGAUAUGGAAUAUGAAAGAAUUGAAGUCUCUCGAGAUCCGGGGAAGAGACCUACCACAUCCUUGUGAAGGAUCCCUCCUAUCAAACCUCACAACUCUAACUGGUGUCGGUCCUCAAAGUUGUACCAAAGAUGUGCUUGAAAAAAUCCCUAAUCUGAAGGAGUUAACAAUCCAAAUCGAACUAGUUCCGGUUGCUUCUAAGCCCUUCAGUUGCUUUGAUCACAUUUACAAUCUGCAUCAACUACAAGAAUUAGAAUGUGAAAUUACAAAUCCUAUUUUCAAGACUGAGGUUGUUACCCGAUUUGGUCCUCUUUCAGACUUGCCAUCAAGUCUUACAAAGUUAACCUUGAGCGGCUUAGGAUAUCCGUGGGAAGAAAUGAGAAAGAUUUCUUCAUUGCCAAAUCUUACAGACCUGGUAUUGCAAUGCUAUGCCUUUCGAGGCCCGAAGUGGGAGGUUCACGACCACGAAUUCCAAAAGCUUUCACAUUUUCAAAUUGAAGACACCGAUCUGGUGCACUGGAAGUUUGUGACAACAAAUUUCUGCUUCCCUGCUAUUAAGGUUCUUGGCAUCGAACAUUGCUACAAGUUAAAAGAGAUCCCUCUCACAUUCGGUACAUCUCUUGAAAAUAUUUAUUUAGUUGACUGCAACCCUAUGGUUGUGAAUUGUGCAAACAGUUUAAAAGGGGAGUGGGACGACAAAUAUGGCGGUCAUGGACGUCGAUUAUAUGUUAUUGUCCGUUCUUCAUUGUACUGAUGGGAACACCAGAAUAUUGAUUCUUGAAAAGGUUAAUCAUUCAAUUUUUAUUUCAAUCUGAGGAUGAAUCUGUAUCAAAAGGGUUGGAAUUUGAGGUAUAACAGGCCGAUAAGUUCUAUUAUUUUUUUAAAAUAUUUUUUAUUACCAAGGAUCUACUCAAUUGUAUGUAUAUGUAUACAUUCUCCUACAAAACAACUAUAAAUAGACAAUACACAUAUAUGGUUGAUAACACGUGCAUUGGGAUAAUGUAAGUUGCGUUUGGAUGAAACUGUUGAAAUUACCAAAACAAGUGCAUGUGUGUUGCAGGUAUUAUGUUAAUACGAAGCUUGCAUAUUGAGUUAUCGUUAGAUGGUGAAAGAUUUGGUUUUGAGUUUUCUUGUAUUCAUAUAUUGUUCAAGUAAUUCUCAUCUUCAAAUUUCGUGUGUGCAAUACUCGACUCAAUUUCCUUCUCGUCUUGUCUUGUUUGAUGUUCAUCCUAAUAUUUUAGUUAAUAGACAGUUUUUUUUAGUUAGUCGAUUGAGUUGUUUGCUUAGUCGACUAAGGUUUUUUAGUUAGUUGCUAAUUAUUUGAUUUAGCAGAAUGCAACAGCAAGUUAUAUUUUCAUCGGAAAAAAAAGGCGCAAGUCCCGACAAUUUUGAGCAAUAAAUCUUUCUCGACGAAGAGUAAUGGUAGGUGAUCAUUUGUUGAGUCUCUCGAUUUCAUUAUCUGAAAUUAGGCGGAACAGUUUAUUUGGUGGAAACACAUUUCUAUUUUUCCCAUUAUUACCAGGAACAUCCUCAAAACUUUUAAAUAUUUACGGAAAUGACCCCGAAACGUUUCAGACAAGUGUCAUGGUGUUUCGAUUUCCGAAAUGCGAAAACGCGUUUACCGAAGUUUCCGUGCACCAUAGCGUUUCAUUUAUGGGAUUUUAUAAUUUUUGGGAUGAAAUUGUAAGAUUAAAGUGAAAUUGAGGCUGAAUCAAAAAAAGAAGUUAAAAAAGGGUUGAAUGUGUUAUUUUAGAAGGCUCACGUACUCCACACGUGACUUAAUCGGCUCCCAAAUUGGUCUAUAUAUAAAGGGCAAAUUACCAAAACCCCCCUGAGGUAAGCCUAAAUAACGAAAAUCCCCCCCACGUUCUCGUAAUUACGAAAACCCCCCUAAACUAACGGUUGACCGAAUUUUUUUAACCGAAAACGUGUAAUGUCUAUUAUAUCCUUCUGUUAAAUAUGUGAAAAUAAAAGGGCAAAUUACCAAAACCCCCCUGAGGUAAGCCUAAAUAACGAAAAUCCCCCCCACGUUCUCGUAAUUACGAAAACCCCCCUUGACUAACGGUUGACCGAAUUUUUUUAACCGAAAACGUGAAAUGUCUAUUAUAUCCUUCUGUUAAAUAUGUGAAAAUAAAAGGGCAAAUUACCAAAAUCCCCCUAAGGUAAGCCUAAAUAACGAAAAUUCCCCCCACGUUCUCGUAAUUACGAAAACCCCCCUUGACUAACGGUUGACCGAUUUUUAUUUAUUUAUAUAUUUUAAUUGAUUUUAUUUAUCCAGAGGAGUAUUAAACCGAUAUUGUAUAUUAAAUAUAAACGAAAACCCCCACUUACAUGUUGUAUAUUAAAUAUAAAUUAAUCUUUAAAAAACAAAAAAAAAGAAAUAAAAACAAAAAAAAAGAAAUAAAAACAAAAAAAACAAAAAACAAAAAAGGAGAAAAAUAUAUUGAGUCUUCUUCUUCCCUUCGUCCUUCGGAAGAGACGACCCAAUCUCCAGUCCUCCUUCGGAAUCAUUCGACUUGCACAACGAAAUCGAAUACUUCUCUCCAUCAAUCGACACGACUUCAAGCUUUCUCGCCCUUCCCAAUCCGAAAUCCGCAUCGCACAAGUCGAACUUCGGCGAACUGUCCUCAUCCCUACAAAUUUCUCACUAUCGGACAUCCAAUUCUCGACACCUUUCAAAACCUCGUCUUUGUUAUUCACCCUGUUUUUAAUAUCCAAAGCUAUAGCCUCCGCAGCAAUUACAAACCCUUCUUCCCCGACAAGUGUUUUGUGCUUGAUUUUCGCUAUUCCGCCACCCAAGCAAUUGCCGAAGUAAUUCAGUGGCAUCGGCGGAUUAGUUCUCCCUCUAACAUCGACCGUCAAAUUUUCCUCUUAAAUUCGACACCUACCUGUUAUGUCGAAAUUUUUGAAAAGAAUCGACACUUGUGUAUCGAAUUAAAAAUCGACAUUUGUGAGCGGCGAUGGAGGACGUUUUUUCGACGGCAAUAGAGGACAUCUUAGACGGCGGCGAUGGAGGACUUAUUUUCCGGCGGCGAGGCAAGUUUUGUCGGUGUGUGGGCGAGUUCUCGGCGGCAGGCAAGAUCCCGGUGAGGCUUUGAAGCUUGAAGUCAAUCUCGAAUGUGUCGUCUGAUUGUGGUCUUGCGUGAGAGGAAUUGGAUUUUAUUUAUAUAUUUAUAACCUCUCAUUAAAUAAAAUACUUACAAUUACCCCCUAAGGAUAAUUUCGUGUACAAGGGCAAAAUUGCUAUUAUCGGAGGAAUAUUCGGGAGAAUAAAAAAGAUUCUAUCGAGUUUAACACCGUUAGAGCGAUUUAUAAGAUGUCUGCAUACCUCAGGGGGCUUUUCGUAAUUACGAGAACGUGGGGGGAUUUUCGUUAUUCAGACUUACCUCAGGGGGGUUUUGGUAAUUUGCCCAUAUAUAAAUGCACCAUCCGCGAUGAGGGACUAAGACUCAAUCUUCUUGGAUUAAUGUAUCAAACUGCACAUGGAAAAUGUCAAUCGAGUAAACAUAUUACAUAAUUGACCUUGGGAGAGAGAGAAAGAGAGAUAAGCAUACGCUGGAUGUUAGAUAUUUUUUAAAAGGAUAAAUUCCACUUUCCCCCCUUUACUAUGGCUCGAUAUCACUUUGCCCCCUUCUACUCUCAAUUACAUUGAUUUGACCCCCUGUACUUGAAAAGUUGUCUCAAUGUAGCCCUUGCCGUUAGUCUUUAGACAUUUGACUUUAACACCGUUUGAUCUAAGUCUGAAAAUUACAAAAAACCUUACCUCCCAGUUUAAAUAAUAAUUUUUUUUUUUAAAUUUAAUUUUUUUUUUUUAAGUAAAAAUAAAUUGUGGUUGCCGUCGUGGACUAUACUUUCCGUCAAUUUAUUCGUCAGUUAAGUAAUGACGGGCACACGCUUGAUUCCGUUAGUACUAACUAUAAAUUAACAGAAAAGACUAAAAGUGUUGAAUUUUUGAAAUAUGAUGGAUCAAACGUGUAAUCAAUGCAAAGUUAAGAAAUGAAAUUGUAUUUUUCCCAAUAUAAGAAUGAAGCACUUGCUGAACCAAUUAAUCUUUAUCAUUGUCCGAAACAUAAUGCUUAACUUGCAGUGAGGCAAAUGAUUUCAUCAACAGCUUAAUCAUCUCGAGAACUGGUCUGUAUGCAUGUAUAUAAUUAACCGCGCAUUCAAGAAAUGGACUUUGACUAAAUCUCCUUGGAUAGCAACAGUAUAUAAUAAAGAAAAUAAUACAUUAUUACAACCUGUACGUACUUAAUUAACACAAAUUAGUUAAUGGCCAACUUGGAUUAAUUAAUAAAAAAAAUAAUUCAUAUGGUUGACUUUUUUGCACAUCGUAUCCAGAGCAAUAACUUCACAAUCAAAUGCCUAUGAAGAAGACUUGUUUUGUUCCAGACUGAAAAUUGUGUGUGUGUGUGUGUGUGAGAGAGUGAUAAGGAACGCCAAAUUGGAUUCGAAUUGGAAAAUAACUAUUUAAUUCGUAGAAGAGUUAUUGAUGGGCAUCGGUGGAGAUACCGAAAGAAAUUACGGAAAAAUAAGGGUUUUCAACGAACUCAAAUUGUACUUGAGUACGAAACGAACUCUAUCUCAAGUAAAACGGCGCAAGGAACAAAACUCAUGAGCAAUGCUCAUGAAUCACGUCAAAUUUCUGCAAUCCAACGUCGUUUGGACUCCUAAAACUUCGUUUUUGCUAUUUUAGGCAAGUUUUAGAAAAUUAAUAUCAAAUCAUAGAAAAAUCGGAUUAGGAUUCCGUAAAUUGGGUUGUUCCCAAAAUUACGAGAUCUACUAGAAUCAAACUCUAACUCGUUUUUGCCUUUUUUGGUAAUUUUUAGUAUUUUCUUAGUUUAAUUAGGGUUUUCAGUUUUUUAGUAUAAAUAGCUGCCUUAGGUCUUUAUUUUAAGGAGAUUUUUCGAAUUUUAAUAAAAUAUUUAGAGUUUUCUCUAUUUUUCUGGUGGAUUCCAGAGUUUUCGGUGGAUUCCGAAUGUUAUUUUGUUCUAUAGGAUUAAUUCGUAGAAAUUAAUUCUUUACCGUGCUUCCGUUCUGCGUCAGUUGGCAUCAGUAGCGAGGUUUUUCCUGGUUAGAUGGCGAAAGGUGCGAGAUAUGGAGACAACAACUACGUUGGCGAUGACCGCGGGGUUGAGAAACUGCAAAAUCUGCGGUUGGUGCGCGAGGGAUUUGCCCUUGACAACAACAACAGAAGAACUGGAUCUAGCAUGGGUAUUGCCGACGGUGUAGCCCGAGGUGCAUAUGUUAGACACAAUUAUCAUGGAUCUGUUCAACUUCAAUCAAGGUAUGACGAUUAUUCAAAGGUGAGCGACAACUCUGAUUUUGAAGAAAAUCCGCCUAUAAAGAGGCAAAAGGAUCGUGAUAAAUAUCGGGUAAGAGCUGAAAUUCCUUCUUUUAGUGGAAAUUUUCUUGAAGUUGAGGAUUUUAUCGAUUGGGUGUCAGAAGUUGAAAAUUAUUUUGAAUUGAUGGGUAUUUUGCCGAAUAAGAUGGUAAAAUUGGUUAGGUGUGAGUUAAAGGGUUGUGCAGCCGCAUGGUGGGAUGAAAUACAGAGGAAGAGAGCUAGACAAGAAAAAUUUCCAAUCCAAUCAUGGAGGAGGAUGAGAAAAAUGUUGAUGGAUCGUUUUUUACCCCUAGAUUAUGAGCAACGUCUAUUUCAACUAUAUAGUAAUUGUUCGCAAGGGAGUAGAUCUGUUAACAAGUAUACUGCUGAGUUUAUGAGACUAGCAGACUUAAAUAACCUGCAAGAAUCCGAAAGUAUGGAAAUUUCAAGGUACUUGCAAGGAUUGAAUAUUUCAAUCCGUCUUAGGAUGGGGUGGCGCGCAUUCGACUCCCUUGAAGAGGCUGAAGAGUUAGCAUGGAGCGAGGAAUAUUAUCAGAAGCGAAAUAGUUCUUCUAGAAAAAUCAAAGAUGUUCUACCCAUUGCCAAAGUUAAGGAGGUACAAGAUACUUCGUUCGUUAUUCAAGCAUCCGGUUUGGUGGAGGAUCAUGGCGUACGAGUUAACAAAGUUGAAGAAGAAAUUGUUGAUGCAAAAGUUAAAAUUAGCGUAGAUAUGAUUAACGAUGACAUUAACAAAAUCAAGGUGAAAGUCAAUGAAGUUGAAGGGGGAGUCAACGAGGUUGAAGAGAGCAUCAACAAAGUCGAAGAUAUCAUCAACGAGGUAGAAGAGAACGUUAGCAAGGUUGAAGAGGGAGUCGGUGAGUUUCGAGAGGGUGUUAAAAAUAAAUUUGAGGAAGAAUUUGAAGUUGUAAAAUUUGUUCAAGAAGAGGAAGGUGCACGUGAAGAGAAGGAACAAGUGGAUUGCGUUGAGGUAUGUGAUCUAAUUGUAGAUAAUGUUUGCUGUGAAGUUCCUGCAUCGGGGAAAUUGGUGGAGCCAUUGAGAUUUUCGAUUAAGAAGCCAAUUUUUCCAACGCCUCGUUUGGAUGAAGAUUUUGAAAGCGAGAUUUUUGUGCCGGGAAUAUUGGUGGAGCACUUGAAGUUGUUUCGAAAGAAAUAUGCAUCGCUAUAUUUUGAUCAUAGCUCGAGGUCGAGCUCUUUUGAAGAAGAGGAGAUUGAUAAGGAACGCCAAAUUGGAUUCGAAUUGGAAAAUAACUAUUUAAUUCGUAGAAGAGUUAUUGAUGGGCAUCGGUGGAGAUACCGAAAGAAAUUACGGAAAAAUAAGGGUUUUCAACGAACUCAAAUUGUACUUGAGUACGAAACGAACUCUAUCUCAAGUAAAACGGCGCAAGGAACAAAACUCAUGAGCAAAGCUCAUGAAUCACGUCAAAUUUCUGCAAUCCAACGUCGUUUGGACUCCUAAAACUUCGUUUUUGCUAUUUUAGGCAAGUUUUAGAAAAUUAAUAUCAAAUCAUAGAAAAAUCGGAUUAGGAUUCCGUAAAUUGGGUUGUUCCCAAAAUUACGAGAUCUACUAGAAUCAAACUCUAACUCGUUUUUGCCUUUUUUGGUAAUUUUUAGUAUUUUCUUAGUUUAAUUAGGGUUUUCAGUUUUUUAGUAUAAAUAGCUGCCUUAGGUCUUUAUUUUAAGGAGAUUUUUCGAAUUUUAAUAAAAUAUUUAGAGUUUUCUCUAUUUUUCUGGUGGAUUCCAGAGUUUUCGGUGGAUUCCGAAUGUUAUUUUGUUCUAUAGGAUUAAUUCGUAGAAAUUAAUUCUUUACCGUGCUUCCGUUCUGCGUCAGAGAGAGAGAGAGAGAGAGAGAGAGAGAGAGAGAGAGAGAGAGAGAGAGAGAGAGAGAGAGAGAGAGAGAGAGAGAGAGAUGAUCGUCUCGCUCAAUGGGAUGGCGGGCAUUGGUAAGACUACUCUUGCCAAGAAACUCUUUCAAGAUCCAUUCAUUGUGAGUUGUUAUAGCAAGCUCGUGUUCGUGACCAUAGGCCCUAAAUAUCGACUAGCAGAUAUCUUGGUGGAUAUUCUAACACAAGUGAAUCCCGACAUUGAUGAAAUAAUGCUUAUGAAAGGAGAAAAAGGAUUAGCUGGAUUGAAAAGAAUGGUUCAAGAAAGUUUAAAGUAUUUGAGAUACUUGAUCGUGUUGGAUGAUGUAUGGGAAAUAGACCUCUGUUUUGUGUUGUUGGAGUUAUUUCCAGACGACAAAAAUAGAAGUCGAGUGUUGGUCACAACUAGGAUGCAAGAAGUAGCUGAUUGUGCUAAGCCUUUGAAUAUUUGCAAUAUACCCUUCCUUGAUAAGAAAGAAAGUUGGGAUCUUCUUCGCGAGAAGGUGUUUGGUGAAGAAGAACCGUGCUCUUAUAGACUUGAGAAAGCUGGAAAGAAGAUUGCCGAGAAUUGUGAAGGUCUUCCUCUUACAAUCAUCACGGUUGCCAAUAUCCUGUCAAAAGUUGACAAGACAAUAGAGUACUGGAACGAGGUAGCGGAUGAUAAACGAAAUUCAGUAUACAAGGAUGCAUAUGAACAAAUGUCAAAGGUACUAUAUCCAAGCUAUGACUACUUAGAUCAACAUUUAAAAGCAUGUUUUCUCUACAUUGGAGCUUUCCCACAAAUUUUUUUACUAGACGUGUCCCAACUAGCCAACUUGUCGAGUGCUGAAGGAUUUCUUAACUCAGAAUCAGUGCAUUACUAUGAGGAGACCAUGGAUUAUGCAUAUGAUAGCUAUGGAUAUUUUGAUGACCUUUAUGCCACAAAUGUUAUCAUGUUCGACAAUGAAACAUUUGAUUUUUACCUUCAUUCGUCCUUUUGGUACUUGUGUAACAAAGAAGCUGCCAGGACCAAGUUUUUCUAUGCCUUAAAUUGCCAUGGCGAUACUCUACCGGAAGAAGGUAUAGAAAGCCAGCGCCGAUUGUGCAUCCGUAAUAAUGUUCUACUUGCCAUCAAAGAUGUGCACAACUCAAUUGCAUCUGAUUCAAAGGUACGAUCUCUUCUUUGUACAGAUUAUUUUCAUAAAUAUCCAGUACCGCUGUUUUUGGAACAUUUGAGGUUGCUGAGGGUAUUGGAUGCUCGUUCUAUUAGAUUCUAUGAGUUCCCGAUGGAAGUAUUGAAACUAGUUCAAUUAAGAUACCUCGCCCUCCUUUAUAAUGGAAACCUCCCUUCUUCCAUUUCCAAACUCUGGAACCUUCAAAACUUGAUUGUUGUUCGACAUCUAAGGAUAGUAAAAUCUGUUGGGAAUCUAUUGUAUCUGCCUAUUGAGAUAUGGAAUAUGAAUGAAUUGAAGUAUCUUUACACAUGCGGAAGAGACCUACCACAUCCUUGUUGUGAAGGAUCUCUCCUACCAAACCUAUUAAAACUAAGUGGUGUCGGUCCUCAAAGUUGUGCCAAAUCUGUGCUCGAAAAAAUCCCUAAAUUGAAGGCGUUAUCGAUUGAUAUCGAGCUGGCUCCUGAUGCUACAGAGCCCUUGACAUGCUUUGAUCACAUUUCCCAUCUCCAUCAACUACAAGAACUAGGAUGUUACAUUAUGAAUCCUACAUUGAAGACAGAGGUUGUUACCCCACUUGCUCCUCUUUCAGACUUCCCAUCAAGUCUUACAAAGUUAACUUUGAACGGCUUAGGAUAUCAGUGGGAAGAAAUGAGAAAGAUUUCUUCAUUGCCAAAUCUUACUCGUCUCUACCUGGAAUGCUAUGCCUUUCGAGGCCCAAAAUGGGAGGUUCGUGACAACGAAUUCCAAAGUCUCUUACAUCUUGAGUUUGAAGACAUCGAUCUGGAGCAAUGGACAUUUGAAAAUUGUCUAUGCCUCCCUGUGAUUGAGAGCCUUCGCAUCGCACAUUGCUACAAGUUAAAAGAGAUCCCUCUCACAUUUGGUAAAUCUCUUGUACGCAUUCAAGUAGUCGAAUGCAACCCUAUGGCUGUGAAAUGUGCAAUCAAGUUAAAAGAGGAGUGGGACGACAAAUAUGCUAAUCGUGAACGUUUGUUACAACUUGAUGUUCGUUCUUCACUGUAACAAUGGGAACACCAAGCCGUGAGUGACUCUACCAUAUCAUUGAUUCUUCAAAAGGUUAGUCGUUAAAUUUUUAUAUCUAUCGAUCGAAAAUACUAAUAUUUUAGUCAAUGCCCAUUCAGGUAAAAGGAAUUGAACAACCUUCAAUUUUUAGCAUUAGAUUUGAAUUAAUAUAUAUAUAUAUAUAUAUAUAUAUAUAUAUAUAUAUAUAUAUAUAUAUAUAUAUAUAUAUAUAUAUAUAUAUUUUUUUUAUUAUUAUAAUUUCAUCAUACAGUGAAUAUUACCAAAGAAUAGAUAUACUCAGUAUAUAUGCAUACAUUCUCCUACAAAACAAUAGAAAUAGACAAUAUAGAUAUAUGGUUGAUAACACAUAUAUAUAAUAGGAUCAUAUAAGUUGCGUUUGGAUGAAACAGUUUGAAUUUGCUACAACAGAGAUAGAUUUUACUAUAGGGUAAAUUACGAAAACUCCCUGAACUUAGGCUAAAUAACAAAAAAAACCCCACAUAUUCGUAAUUACCAAAAAUCACUGAGGUUUGUUUCCAUCUUACACCAACCUUUUACAGUGUCAGUUUUCACGGAUUUUUUUUAUUCCAAGAAAUAGACUUUACACAAUUUCAGAUAUUUUCUUUUAUUUCUCACCUAUUUAAUGGAAGGUAUUUAAAACUCUAUUAACACUUAAUCAGAUGGGGAUUUCGGUUAUUACGGAUAAGUGGGGGUGUUUUUCGUUAUUCAGUCUAAGUUUAGGGAGAUUUUCGUAAUUUACCCUUUAUUAUAUUACAAAUUAAUUUAUUUGAUUACUGAUCAAUGAAUUUGCUAUUAUGGAUUAAAAAAAAAUUAACAUCCGAAAUCAUUGAACAUUCUCCUUUAUUACAGGUGUAUCGUCUCGAGAGCCGUAGGCUGAUUGAUCGCGAGAGAAAUUACAUCGACAUUGUUUGCAUCAGGAAUCGGAGGAACGUACUUUCAGUUUUGAGACGGACAAAUCAAAGCGUGUUUAAAUAUUUUGUUAAUGUUAUUUGGUGUGUUUAAUUUUUCUUGAUUUAAUUUUUAUAACAUCCUCAUCAGUUAUAUGUUGUGAGGUUAAAAUUAAGACUAUUGCGCAAUUAAGAAAGUGCACGUGUGUCGCACAUAUUGUCGAAUGUACGAGUUUUACCUGUCUCUGCCGGAAACAGGUAAAGCAAAGAUAGUUACAUACAUACGAUAACCGAAGUAUAAAGAACAUAUAUGCAACAGUAAGCCAUAUUUUCUAUCGGAAAAAAGCCAUGUUGAGUCUCUCGAUUUCAUAUUUUAAAGAACUUAAAAAAAUCCCUAUGUUUCAUUACUUGAAGUUAGGUGUAAAAUUCUCCACUUUGACAGUUUUCGCGAAGCAAAAUCUCACCUUAGAAUACACAUAGCAAAUGAAGAGAAAAUCGAGGAACGUUAUAAGCAUAUGCAGCCUCGAAACUCAAUAUUAAACAUCAAAUAAAACGAGCAAUGGGGGGUGUGUUUUGCGUAUUUAUGAAAUUCUACCUUUACGUGAAUGGGGGUAUCUUUCUUUGUUAUGUGCGGUGCACAUGCUAUUCUCCGUCCCUACUAACCGGACAAACGGACGGAGGGACAAAAACAACAUAAAAGUAGCAUGUUUAGGGACGUAAAUUGUAACUUCAUCUUGUUUAUGGACGAAAAUCGAAUAAGUGGUAUAGUAUAUGAACGAAAAGUGUAAUUAUCCCCAGAGAUGUUUUUGAAAGAAUCCCUAGGUUAGAGGUUUUAGCAAUCUAAAUAGAAAUUGCUCCCGACAAUUUUCAACCCUUGAGAUGCUUUUUGUCAUAUUUUUCAUCUCCAUAAACCAAUGCCUCGUUUGUUUGAAAAGAUAAGAUUAGCCAGGAUAAAAUUAAAUAUUCUAAUAAAACCCAAUUGUAUUAUUGGAUAUUGGAAGAUCCAAUAAAAAACAUGCCUAAAAGGCGAGAUAAUGCAUAAUAACAUAAUUUAUGCGGGUCGACCCGGUAAGUUAUUGGGAUAUCAGACAUCAAACAAAGUCCCAUUAUUUAGUUAAGUGUAAAUUACAGCCACCCCCUGAGGUACGGUUAAAUUACGAAAAAACCCCUCUUGUUUGGGUAAUUACAACCACCCAUCAACUAUGAAUUUUUGUACAUGUCCAUCUCUGUGGUGUCAAAUUUAGUGGAAUCUUCUAAAUUAUGUAAUAUUCUCCUGUUUGUAUCUUUUUUAAUAUAUUCGAGUUCCACAUUUUGAAACAAGAUGAUCAUAAGAUGUGUUUCUUGACAUGUAAAUAUCAUAUUGUGGUGCAUCAAAAACUGCAUUUUACAAACUAGAAGAUUUUGUUGAAUUUGACACCAUAAGGAUGAAUGUGCAAGAAGAUUCAUACUUGAUGGGGGUGGUUAUAAUUACCCAAACAAGAGGGAGUUUUUCAUAAUAUAACCAUACUUCAGAGUAUUAGAGUAUAUUAUAUUAUUAGAUAUUAUAGGAUAUUAGAAUUCUAGUAUGAUUCGGUUACCUAGAUUAGUUAGGAUUUAUUUACCUAGUCAAACUCUAUUACCUUGCAAUAUUUCUCUAUAUAUAUUCCAUGUAAUCAACCCAUAACACAAUGGGGGUUUCUAUUCUAUCACGUAUUCUAUUCCUAUAUGGUAUCAGAGCACCAGGUUUUUUAACCUAGCCUAGCCGCCUUCUUCUCCAUGGCGGUGACCACCCAAUUUUCUCUUUCCCCCGGUGGUGGUACUCUAAUAUCUUUCUUUUUCUAUCUUUUCCAUGAACACCACCCAAUUUUCUCCCUCCCCGGUGGUUCAUCUUCUAUCUGCUUCUUCUUUUUCUUCUUCGUAUAUGGUCUAAGACCUAGCCGCCGCUUCUCUUCUUCUCCAUGGCCGGCGAACAACACCCAAUCUUCUCCCCCCUCUCUCAUCUCUUCUAUCUAUCUCGAUAAAAAAAAAAAAAAAAAAAAAAAAAAAAAAAAAAAAAAAAAAAGAAGAAGAAGAAAGGUUGCUUAUUUUUCUAUCACCCGUUAUUAUUAUUAUUAUUAUUUUUUAAAUUUGGCAGAUAUUUCAACAGAGGAAGUCUCUAGUGUUGUGUUUCGCGACUUAUUUUCCAGUCUUCACUUUUGGAGUAUAUUUGUUCCGACUGCGGGAGCGUGUUAGCAAGUGAUUUUCCAGUCUUCACGUUCGUCAAGUUUCGACUGCGGGGGCGUAUUAGAGUAUAUUAUUAGAUAUUAUAGGAUAUUAGAAUUCUAGUAUGAUUCGGUUACCUAGAUUAGUUAGGAUUUAGUUACCUAGUCAAACUUUAUUACCUUGCAAUAUUUCUCUAUAUAUAUUCCAUGUAAUCAACCCAUAACACAAUGGGGGUUUCUAUUCUAUCACGUAUUCUAUUCUUCCUAUACAGAGGUGGUUGUAAUUUACCCUUUAGUUAAUCAUGGCUAUCUCUCGAACCAAACAAGUCCUAAAAGUACUAGAAUGUGUCACUGUGAAUCCCAUAUUGAAGACAGAAGUUGUAGAAAAUCUACGGCAAAUUGCUUUCUUCAAAAGGUUAGUCAUUCAAUUUCUCGCAAAAGCUCACAUUGCAAAUUAAAGAGUAUGUCAAAAUCGAAAAGAAAAACGAGAACGACGGUAUAAGCAUAUGCAGUCUCGGGCCUCUUACACGAGUUGGGAUUGUCCCUCCCAGGUCGACCGACGACCCAUCGGCUGAUUAUAUUAGUUGUUUACUCUAUGUAGUUUGAUUUUCUAUUUUUUUUUUAAGCUGUCUAGCUUAUACAUAAUAAAGAAUAAUACAGUACAACCUGUAAGACAAGUUAAUUAGUGGCCAUCUUGGAUUAAAUAUCAUUAUGGUUGGUUGACUCUUUUGUCACAUCUUUGCAGAGCAAUAAUUUCACAAACAAUGCCUAUGAAGAAGACUUAUUCCAGACUGAAAACUAUGUGAUAUCUUAGAGAGAGAGAGAUGGCUUAUGGAGCUGUUGGUUGUCUUGAGCUGACAACUGAGCGCCUUUUGAAAUCAUCACAUAUUUCGAUUGUUCAAAAUUCAUCCCCACAAAUAAUUAACCUUCUGUACGAUGAGAUUCUUUCCUUAAAAGAAGCUCUCAGAGAAUUCAAUACAAGGAGGAGCACCAUCAACAUGAAGAUGGUCAAAACUUUGGAGGCACAAAUCAUAGAUGUUGUAUACGAAUUCGAAGAUGUAUUUGACUCCCAUCUCGCAAAUCAGUUAUAUUCACAAUCUGAAGAAGAGACCGGUGAUCCUCCAUUAAUGUUAUUCUCAGUAGAUCUUCAAGAAAUAAAGCAAGAUGUCGAUUCCUUUGUCGAAAGGAUGAACAAGAUGAAGAAGGCCUACAUUCAUGAGUUAUGCAACCCCUCGCCAGAAGAAGAUGAUUGUGUGGGCCCGUCAUCAAGGAUUGAUUUUGGUGGAAAUGAUGAUUAUAACAUGGUUGGAUUAUCUGAUAUAUUUACUGAAAUCAAAGAUCUGUCUCGUUGGUCGGGAUGGCGGGCAUUGGUAAGACCACUCUUGCCAAGAAACUCUUUCAAGAUCCAUUCAUUGUAAGUUGUUACACCAGACAUGUAUUCGUAAGUCGUAACCAUAGGCCCUAAAUAUCGACUAGCGGACAUCUUGGUGGAUAUUCUGACACAAUUGAAUAAUCUUGACAUUGAUGAAGUAAUAUUGCUUAUGAAAGGGGCAGAAUUAUUAGUCGAGUUGAAACGAAUGGUGUUCAAAAGUUUAAGGUUUUUGAGAUACUUGAUUGUGCCGGAUGAUUUAUGGGACGUUGAGCUCUAUUUUGACUUGACGGAAUUCUUUCCAGACGACAAUAACGGAAGUCGAGUGCUACUGACGACUAGGACAGAAGAAGUAGGUUAUUGUGCUAGUAUGUGGAGGGAUUACAAUUUACGCUUCUUGGAUAAGAAAGAAAGUUGGGAACUUCUUCGUCACAAGGUGUUUGGUGAAGAAGAACCGUGCUCUUAUGAACUUGAGAAAGCUGGAAAGAAGAUUGCCGAGAAUUGUGAAGGACUUCCUCUUACAAUCAUCACGAUUGCCAAUAUCCUGUCAAAAGCUGACAAGACAAUAGAGUACUGGAACGAGGUAGCGGAUGAUAAACGAAAUUCAGUAUACAAGGAUGCAUAUGAACAAAUGUCAAAGGUACUAUAUCCAAGCUAUGACUACUUAGAACAACAUUUAAAAGCAUUCUUUCUCUACCUUGGAGCUUUCCCAAAAAAUUAUUCGGUGUAUGGAUACCAAAUGGUCAACUUGUGUGGUGCUGAAGGAUUUCUUAACCCAGACCCAAUCGCGACUUUCGAAAAUAAUAGCUAUGGAUACUUGAAUGAGCUUUGUUUUAAAAAUGUUAUCAUGAGCGCCAAAGAAGAACGCGGUUUUCACCUUCAUUCGUCAUUUUGGUACCUGUGUAACAAAGAAGCUCCCAAGAACAAUUUUUACUAUGCCUUGAAUUUUUGUGCUGAUGCUUUACAAGAAGAAGGUAUAAAAUACCAGCGGCGAUUGUGCAUUCGCAAUAGUUUUUCACCCCUUAAGUUUGCACUAAUUCCAUAUUUGGUCCUCCAUGUUCACAAAAAACACAUUUGAUCCUUCAUAUUUCAAUAAUUUAAUAUUUUUGGUCAUUUUCGUCAGUUUACCGUUAGUUCAUCAGUUAAGUUAAUGACGGGCACAUGCUUGAUUCCGUUAAUACUAACAAAAAAAUUGACGAAAAAGACUUAAAGUGUUGAAUUUUUUAAAUAGGAGGGACCAAAUGUGAUUUUUGUGAACAUAAGGGACUAAAUGUGAAAUCAACGCUAAGUUAAGGGAUGAAAAGUGUACUUUUACUUGUAUAAGAAUGAAGCACUUGCUGAACCAAGUAAUCUUAAUUAUUGUCCGAAAAUUAUAUACAUACAGACCAGUUCUCGAGUUUGACUUAAUUAAUCUCCUUGGAUUGUAACAGUAUAUAAUAAAGAGAAUAAUACAAUAUUACAACCUGACGUCCGAUAACUUCGUUCAUAUGGUUGACUCUUUUGCACAUCGUAUCCAGAGCAAUAAACUUCACAAUCAAAUGCCUAUGAAGAAGACUUGUUUUGUUCCAGACUGAAAAUUGUGUGUGUGUGUGUGUGUGUGUGAGAGAGAGAGAGAGAGAGAGAGAGAGAGAGAGAGAGAGAGAGAGAGAGAGAAGCAUUUCAAGAUGGCUUAUGGUGCUGUUGGUUGUCUUGAGCUGACAAUUGAGCGACUUUCGAAAUCAUCACAUAAUUCGAUUAUUCAAAAUUCAUCCCCACAAAUCAUCAAACUUCUGUACAAGGAGAUUCUUUUCUUAAAAGAAGCUCUCAGAGAAUUCGAUAAAAGGAGGAGCACUAUUAGCAUGAAGAUGGUGAAAACACUGGAGGCAGAAAUCAUAGAUGCAAUAUACGAAUUCGAAGAUGUGCUCGAACCCCAUCUCUUGAAUCAGUUCCAUUCACAAUAUGAAGAAGAGUCCGUUCAUUAAUGUUAUACUCAGUAGACAUGCAAGAAAUAAGGCAAGAUGUCGAUUCCUUUAUCGAAAUGGUGAACAAGAUGAAGAGGGCCUACAUUCAUGAGUUACGCAACCCUUCCCCCGAACAAGAAGAAGAAGAAGAAGAAGACUGGGAUGAUUGUGUGGAUUUUGGUGGAAACGAGUCUUAUAACACGGUUGAAUCAUCUCAUCUAUUUAUGAGAAUCAAGGAUCGGCUUGUAAAUUCCUUUUUCGAAACAGUGAACAAGAUGAUCAAGAAGCCCUACACUCGCGAGAUACGCAGCCCUUUAUAUCUAUUUACGAGAAUCAAAGACCGGCUUAAUUCCUCACAAUCUGAAGGGAUGAGUGUGUCUCUCGUCGGGAUGGCGGGCAUCGGUAAGACUACUCUUGCCAAGAAAGUCUUUCAAGAUCCAUUCAUUGUGAGUCGUUUCAGCCUACGUGUGUUUGUGUCCAUAGGCCCGAAAUAUCGAUUACAUGAUAUCUUGUUAGAUAUUCUAAGGCAAUUGGAUCCUGUAUAUAAUGAAUUAAGGCUUCCAACAGAUACAUUAUUAGCCAAGAUCAAAUGGGUGCUGCUGUCAUAUUUAAGAGAUUUAAGAUUUCUGAUUGUAUUGGAUGAUGUAUGGGAUGCAGAGCUCUGUUCUCAGUUGUAACUAGGCUAUGCGAAGUAGCUGUGUGUGCUCACCCUUUGAAUUCUUUCAAAAUACCAUUCCUUGAUAGAAAGAAAGUUGGGAUCUUCUUCGUGAGAAAAUAUUCGGUGAACAAGAGUCGUCAUUCUCUUAUGGAGCACCAGCGCCGAUUGUGCAUUCGAAAUAGUAUUCUAUUUGCUAUUGAAGAUGUGCACAACUCAAUUGCAUCUGCGUCAACUGUACGCUCUCUCUUAUGUACUGGUCCAUUUCAUCAAUAUCCAGUGCCAUUACCUUUGGAACAUUUAAGGUUGCUCAGGGUAUUGGAAGCUCGAAUCAGACUGUAUGAGUUCCCAUUGGAUGUGGUGCAACUAUUUCAACUAAGAUACCUUGUCCUCACUUAUGAUGGAGACCUCCCUCCUUCUAUUUCCAAACUUUCGAACCUUCAGCAGUUGAUUGUUGGUCGAUACUGCAUCGUAAAUUAUGUUGACAAUGUAGUGUAUCUGCCUAUUGAGAUAUGGAAUAUGAAAGAAUUGGAGUAUCUACAGUGUGUGGAAAGAGACCUACCACAUCCAUGUGAAGGAUCUCUCCUACCAAAACUCUUACAACUUAUUGGUGUUGUACGAAAGACGUGCUUGAAAAAAUCCCGAAUCUGAAGGAUUUAGGAAUUCAAAUCGUACUAUCUCUUGAGAGUCUUUGAUCACAUUUCCAAUCUCCAUCAACUACAAACACUGCAAUGUGACAUUGUGAAUCCUAUAUGGAAGACAAAGGUUGUAACUGCCCCACUUGCUCCUCUUUCCGACUUGCCAUCAAGUCUUACAAAGUUAAUAUUGAAAGGCUCGGGAUAUCCAUGGGAAGAAAUGAGAAAGAUUUCUUCAUUGACAAAGCUUAAGUAUCUGACAUUGAGUCUUUACGCCUUUCGAGGCCCAAAGUGGAAGGUUCAUGACUGUGAAUUCCAAAGUUUUGAAUUUCUUCACAUUGAAGACGCUGAUCGGGUGCAAUGGAAGUUUGUGUCAACGAAUUUGUGCCUCCCUGCGAUUAAGUACUUUCGCAUCGUACAUUGCUACAAGUUAAAAGAUAUCCCUCUUAAGUUUGGUACAUCUCUUCUAAACAUUCGAGUAGUCAACUGCAACCCUAUGGCGAUGAAUUGGGCAACAAAGUUAAAGGAGUGGGACGACAACUAUGGCGAUGGUAAACGUUCAUUAACUGUUGAUAUUCGUUCUUCAUUGUAAUGAAAUGAUCGGAACACCAAGCCAUAACUCUACCAUGAUAUUGAUUCUUCAAAAGGUUAGUCAUUAAAUUUUUUAUUUCUAUCAAAAGUUUAGAAUUUGAGGUCUAUAAGACUGAUACAUUUGAAUUUAAUUUUUAUUUAUUUAUAAUUUCGUCAUACAGUGAAUAUUAUUAAUAAUAUACUCAAAAUAUAUGUAUAUAUUCUACUACAAAACAGCUAUAAAUAGCCAAUAGAUAUAUAUGGUUGAUAACACAUGGGUACUUUUUACAGUUUACUCUAAUAUAAGUUGCAUUUGGAUGAAACUGUUUGAAUUGUGAGGAGAGAAUUUGAAGGAAAGCUAGUAUGAAAUUGAGAUGGAUUUGAAAUUCACUACUGUAAUGGUUUCUUCCUUUUUUUUGUUACAAAAUUACCCUUUGGCCAAUAGUUUAUUUGAAGGAUGAUAUGGUAAAUGAUCAACUAUUUUUUAAACAAAUAAUUCGUCAUUCUUUUGAACGUGUAGGAUGUUUUGUAACCGAAAUUUCCAUCAAUUAAUCCUUUGCAUUAAUAUCAAUAAACUAGCAAUUUUAGAGGAAAAAAAACCUCUCAUGCACAUAAUAAUAAUAAUAAUAAUAAUAAUAAUAAUAAUAAUAAUAAUAAUAAUAAUAAUAAUAAUAAUAAUAAUAAUAAUAAUAUUAUUAUUAUUAUUAUUAUUAUUAUUAUUAUUAUUAUUAUUAUUAUUAUUAUUAUUAUUAUUAUUAUUAUUAUUAUUAUUAUUAUUAUUAUUAUUAUUAUUAUUAUUAUUAUUAUUAUUAUUAUUAUUAUUAUUAUUAUUAUUAUUAUUAUUAUUAUUAUUAUUAUUAUUAUUAUUAUUAUUAUUAUUAUUAUUAUUAUUAUUAUUAUUAUUAUUAUUAUUAUUAUUAUUUAAAUAAUUUAAGCAGACAUUUCAUCAUUAUUUUGUUCGUUUUGUAACAUACAUUUUCAUCCAUCCUUUGCAUUAAUAUAAUUAAUCUAGCAAUUGAACUAAAAAUUUCACACAAAACAAAAAAGAAAGAAAAGAACAAAAAGAAAACCUCACAUACCAAAUGAUCCCAAACUAGUCAACUAUUAAUAAGAAAAGGGAAUACACUUUGCACCCCUGAAGCAUAAACUAUGUAACACUUCCCCUUAAAAUGUCAUUUGUAUUACUUACUCACCUCAACAUUAAUUAUUUUAUAUUUUAAAAAUUAGAACAUAAUAAACAUAACAACUAAUAUUUAUGGGAUCAUAUAAAAUUGAAAACAACUAAAAUUAAAUUAUUGGAGAGAAAUUAAAAAGUAACAUAUAUUGUAUAAUAAUGAAUGAAAAUAUAUUUUUAAGAAAUUAAAGAACUAAAAUAAAUUUAAAUACUUCAGAUUACUAUUGGCUAAGUAUUGAUUUCUUAAAAUUUAUCGAUAAGAAUAUAUUCGAUUAAUUGGUCCAACAACAAUCAGAUGUUAUUUAUUAAAUAUAUACCCAAUGCAAGAUAAUAUUUUAAAAUUUUGAAAUACUGCCUUUUUCCAUAUAUAUAUUUUAGUUGUAUAAUUUAAUUAUUCUUUGAAUUAUUUGUUUCAAUAAUAGAGAAAUUUUAAAGUAUUAGAAUUUAAAAUACAAAUUAAAUUGUGUUUGAGGGGGUAAGUGUUACAUAAGAGCAUCUCCAACCGGUUUCACCAUUUUUUCACCAAAUCCUAUUUAUGGUGGUGAAAAAAUGGGUUCAUCUCCUACCGGUAGCACACCAUUUUACUCUUCCACCAUUUUUAGUGGAAAAAUGGUGGUUUUGGUCUUCAAUGGGUAUCACCAAAAUUUAGACCAAAUAUUAAAAUAAUAAUAUUUCACCAUUUCACCACUUAUAGGAAAUGGAAUUUGGUUUGGUCUCCAAUGGCAUUUCACCAUAUAUACCCCAAAACUAUAAAUCUAAUGUUAAUCGUAAUUUUAUAAUAUUUUAUUUCCUAAAUAUUAAUUAUAGAACCAAUACUAAGUAAUAAAUUUUCUCAACUAAAUAAUUUAAAAAUUAUGUUAUUAAUCUUAAAAAAAUGUCCAAACAUGAAAUAACAUGAACUCAAAUUAUUUUAAAUAUAAUAAAAUUAUACAUAAACAAUAAUCUCAUAAAUUAUUGCAUAAAUAAAAUAUUACAACAUAAAUCAAUUUGAAAUCAUAAAAAAAAUCUCAUUCACCAUUAUUAUCAUCAUCAUCACCAUCAUAAUCUUCAACAUCACCGAUUUGAGCACGUUUAUCCCACAAGUGUGCUUUUCCUUGAUUUAUCAGAUUUCGAUGUCGACCAAGAAAACUAACAUAUGCCGUAUUAUUAAAAUCUCUCAAAAGCUCAACAGAAAUGAACUAAUAAACAUUGAUACCAACAAAAUAAACAAAUUAAUUAAAAAUAAGCAUAUUUAUAUUUUUAGAGUUAAUGUUUUGUUAAUAAUAACAAAUGUAUUUAUAUUUUAAAAACUAAUUUAAUAAUUAAUACCAAUGUAUUUACGAUAAUUAUGCUAAUAAGUUGGUAAUCGGGUGCAAUUAGUUAAAAUCGUCAUUUUAUAUGGUACUAAUAAAAUGGUGUUAAUUACGACAAAUCCUAUUUUCACCUCUAUAUUUGGUAGGAAAAAUAGGAUUUGGUGGAAAAAAUAGGAAAAUGGUGGACCGGUGGGAGAUGAAAAUUUCUUCACCAAAAAAUUUGGUGGAAAAAUAGGAUUUGAGUAUUUGGUGAUAUGGGGGUUGACCACGGUGGGAGGCUAAAACCAAAUCUCUAUAAUUUUAGGUGUAAUGGUAAUAUAGGAAUUUCGGGUGGGAGGCUAAAAACACCUAAAUAAGAUGAAAAAAUGGCGUUAUGGUGUCCGGUCGGAGAUGUAAAAUGUAUUUAACCCAUAAGAAAAUAAAUACCUUGAUUGUGCGUUUUGUAACAGACUUGAUAAUAAUAACUGAUGCAAAGCUUUUAAUGCACAUUCAAUCCCAUUAUCUUGCAUGUGGAAAAAAACGGUCGAAACGAAAAUGCAUCUCCCUAAAAGGUGUGAAUGUUGGAGAAGAUGGUGAGAUUUAGCACCCAAUUAGUAGCAACAACAAAAGGUUCAGAGGUUACUUUUUUGUCUUCUUACAAAAUAGGAGUUUUUUGAAUUGGAAGCAUGUAAAUCUAAUUUUUUAUUUGUCGGAUUAUCUGUUCUUGGUAUGUUGUAAUUAAGAUUUUGGGUUUUUUUUUUUCUUUCCUCCAUGGUAUUGAGAAUUGGGUUUUGGUGCACGGGAAAAUUGUAGAUUAUUUCUUUUGUUGAUCUAUGUAUUCGUUCAAUUUGACUAUCAAUCUAAUUUAUUUAUUUAUUUAUUUUGCUUUGAAUUUCAGUUGUGCAACAUGAAAUUAGAAUAUGCUAUUGGUUGAGCAAGAUGCAUGAUAUAAUUAAUGGAAAUGGCCUUUUUCUCAAAAAAUGCAUGAUCAUUCAAGGUAAUAACUAAAUUUCCCUUUUUCAUAAGCUAUUAAUAUUCGUAAUUUUUUUUCUUGCAUUUUUAGAUCUCCAUCUUUCAUCUUAAAAAUCAAUUGAAUCGUAUAAAAUAAAACUAAAUCGAAGAAAUAGAUAGAAUUAUAUCAAAUCACAUUUAUUUUAAGGUAGAUACAUUUUGAAUCCUAGAAAUCAACUGAAUCGUAAAAUUCCUGUAAAAUCGUACUAAAUAAUAAAAAAUCGUAGAGUUAUAUCAAGUCGAAUUUGUUUUAAGAUUCUAAUCAAAAAGUUCAAAAAUACAAAUGAAUCGUUUUAUUAUAAAUAGUAAAUAGUAAGAGUUUGUAAUUUUCUUAGAAAGUUGUGUUGUAAACAAUAGGGGUACUAGGUUAUUAAAGAGGUAUGUUAUGGGAGAAUGAAUAUCUUAUCAAAGAAAUUCAUCAACAACUAAAGGAUAAUUGGAGGCUAAUUCACAUUUUCAGAAAGAAAACAUGGUAGCAGAUGGCUUAGCAAUGGAUUGAUGAUCUAAGGAUGCCAUAUACCUCCAAAGUUUCAACAAUUUGACGGCAAAGGCAACCCCAAGCAGCAUGUGGCACACUUCGUCGAGACUUGCAAUGAUGCCGGGACGUACGGAGAUCACCUCGUCAAGCAAUUCGUCCGAUCGCUCAAGGACAACGCGUUUGAUUGGUACAUUGAUUUGGGGGCAAACUCCAUUGAUAGUUGGAAGCACUUGGAGGAAGAAUUUCUCAACCGCUUUUACAGCACUCGAAGAACAGUCACCAUGAUUGAGCUCACCAGUUCCCGCCAAUGUAAGAAGGAACCUGUCAUCCACUACAUCAACCGUUGGAGAAAUUUGAGUCUUAAUUGCAAGGAUCGACUGCCCGAGACAUCAGCUAUUGAGCUGUGCAUCCAAGUAAUGCAAUGGGGACUCCGAUAUAUCCUUCAAGGAAUUCAACCUAAAAGUUUUGAAGAGUUGGCCACUCGAGCACAUGAUAUGGAAUUGAGCAUAACUGCAAAUGAAGUCGAAGAACCUUCAUUCCAAAAGUCGUAUCAGCUCAAAGAAGAACAUGUUGAAGAAGAACAAGAAGAUCAUGAGGAUGGGGGCAAGUCUUUUGAAGAAACAACAUCCUAUGCAAUGUGACAAGUCAAAUCAAAUGAAACACUCCUUGACACGAGUUUAAAAGGUCCACAUCUUCAAAUCAAUUGAAAUACUCCUUGACACGAGUUUAAAAGUUCUACAUGUCCAAAUAAAACGAAGCACUCCUUGACAUGAGUUUAAAAGGUCUACAUGUCCAAAUUAAAUGAAACACUCAUUGACACGAGUUUAAAAGGUCUACAUGUCCGAAUCAAAUGACAUACUCAUUGACACGAGUUUAAAAAGUCUACAGGUCCAAAUAAAAUACUCCUUGACACGAGUUUAAAAGGUCUACGAGUUCAAAUCAAGUCAAGGCUCCUCAAUAUGAGCAUAAACUAUCUAUAUAUCCAAAUCAAAUCAAAGCUCCUCGAUAUGAGCAUAAACUAUCUAUAUAUCCAAAUCAAGUAAAGGCUCCUUGAUACGAGCAUAAACUAUCUAUAUAUCCAAGUCAAGUCAAGGCUCCUCGAUACGAGCAUAAAUUUGUUGGAAUAAACUUGAAUAAAUCCCAUGGAACCGUCAUGCCGAAUCAUCAAGAAUAUUGUGCAUAAACUUAAAUCGGAAGCGUACCUUACUCCGGUGGAAUUGAUAUGAAACGAUCAUGGAUCUUCCAGAUCAUCAUGUACAUCCGAACCCGAGAACCCUUUAGACUUCUCUUUGUUUUCUUUAUGUCGAUGGAAUACAUAGAGAAUGGAAUUCGUACAUGUGACCCGGGGACCAUGACCAAUAUAUAUAGAUAACCUAAUGGGCUAUCUUGUGUAAUUUUAUUUUAGCCCAUCACUAUAAUAAAAUUACCCUAAUGUCUCUACACAUUAAAGGCCCACACCCUAUUAGACACAUUAAAGCCCAAUCCAAAUAAACUUUAGUCGAUCACUUUAACGGGCUUAACUUUACGUGACAGUCUUGCAACACAUAAUAUUUCACAUAUAAGUCCAACGUUGGAAUAAUGUUCCAACAAUCUCCCACUUGGACUAUAUGUGUAACUUUAUAAUUAUAGGUUGCAUAAAUAAAUUUUGAGCUCAACUUUGCUGUCAUUACUGAAGUGUGUCUAUAACCAAUCUCGUCCAUCAAUCAUGCUAACACUGAAUCAAAGGGGCCUUCGUUCACAUUAGUCGUAACGGGACCCAACAAUGGUCACAAUAUCAACACAAUUGAAUGACAUAGAUUAUGAUGUGGAUGUGUAGCAUGGAAAUGUCAUGCAAUGUGACCUUAACAUACCUAUUCCCAAUUAGUCCUCCUUAACGAGAUCAAACCUUAACAAAUCAGAGUGUGAAUAAACCAAAACCUUAUUUCUGCAGAAAUUAUCCUAAGAGUAUCCUUAAUCCGAAUUAACCCAAAAAUUAUGUCUACCCCAAAAGAACACAUUUAUUAUAAACUCCCACUAAAACCGAAUAUCCUUAAUUAAUAUGACACCCAUACGAGCAAUAUGCUCAUGAGACCUUUUGGGUGACAUCCUUAGUGUGCACACAUAAUGGAGUUUAUAUCGACGUAUUCUAUAGACACCUUUCCACUCUGUAUAUUAUAAAAUAAGAUGCUUUUAUAAACUGAUUACCGUAGUUAAAAAAGAGUUUUGGGUGUUGGCUAAACACUCGUACUUAAAUUCUCUUUUAAUUAGGUAUACAUUAAAUGGAUCUAUAAUGUACAAGCAUCAUACAAACUCGAAAUCAAAAAACCAAAUGAUCUCCCAAAUGAACUGAUUUCGAUAAAUGAGCAUAAAUGACCUUAUGUUCUCUAUAAUUACUGUAUAAUCCUUUUGUUUCUAUUCAAAGAUCCACUUUAAAGAAUUAUUUAAAUAUCUGCCUAACUUUAUGUACGAUUUAGCCGAAUGCGUACAUACCGAAGUGUGCAUAUAAUUUCCCAAAGCUGACAGCAAGGGAACCUUUUGCAUUCUUCCUUACCGUAAGAUCUUUAUUGGGCAUUGAAUGAGAUGUGCAGGAUUAUCUCCCACGUAUCACAUGGUAUAUACAAACAUUAACUUUAUUUACCUAAAACUCUAAAAUAGAGUCCGUAUUGAGUGAAACUCUAGGUGAUUAGACUUUGUUUAUAACUUUUUCAACAUUGUCUAUUGAAAUUCAAACGGUCUCAAACAUACAUUUGUGACCAAAUGAUUUCACACUUUUGACAAUUGAUAAGAUCCCAAAUGUCAUUAUCAUCUUAAGUUUAACUCAGUUUAAUAUUGUAUUCUCUUAAGGUUGUUGAGUUUAUCUUUAAGGAGCAAUUUCCUUUAUGUGGGAGAAGACAGUAUUUUUUAUUAUUGUCUAUAGCAACAAAAUGAGAAAAAUAAAUUCUCUCUUUCAUACAAUAAUGAGUAUAACCCUUCCCCCCCUUAAACUCAAUAUCCUUAAGAGAUCUUAUACAUCCCGUCUUUAACCAUAUGUUGCAGUCUUUAGUGCUUCUCUUAAGAUUAGAAGCAAAACCUUACUUGUCAUUUGACAUACUUUGGAGACUCAUAUCUUUAAAUAACAGAUAAAGCGGACAUGAUUCUGUUACUUUUGGAAAAUCUAUUAUGAUGUCUCUACUGCAACAAUGUGUCAUUCUAUGGGAUAGUAGUUAACUGAGUACUUUUAGUCUUUUCUCGUUUCUGUCAUUUUAUUCCUACACAUAGUCAAAUAAAAGCUGACAAAGAAUUCAUUUAUCCUUCAGAUUUUGAAACAAACCUUAUGUUGACUAUAGAUGUAGAAAGAAAAAUCAAACCAUAUGCACUUUAAAGUUAAUAAAUCGUAACUUUAGUGCUUAAGCCGAAAGUGAGAUAAAACUAAUACCGAAUGUACUCCUUUAUAUUUCUUUUCUUUUAUUAAUAAUGAAACAAGAUUAGUCAAAACUAUACUUGAUUCAAACUUGUCAUUUUAAUAAUAAAACGUAUCAAAAGUGCCUUAAGAAAUAUUCCAGUACUUGCCCUAUCAAUCUUGAUGCCCCUAAAGAUUUCUUAAAUAGUGCUCCAAUUGAUCUUAAUACUUAUAAUUAGAACGAUCAUAUUCUUUAAGUCCCUUUUACCUUAACCUUAAGGAAACUUUUAAUUCCGAAGUAACUAGUUGGUCGUUCUAUUUAAAAGGUAAAAUCAAGAUCUAUGCACCCUAAAUAAUAAGUAAAUUGUGCUAUAAAGCACAAGAACCAAAAUUAACAUUGACAGAUAACGCAGAAGCGGAAGCAUGAACUAAAUAGAGAACAUAAACAAGAAGACAUGCUCACAACUACUAUUAUGUCAUAAAAAUAUCAAAUAAAAUCUAUGUAUGUAUGACAUAAUUAAACAUAAUUGGGUUCAUUUAUCAUAAAAUACCUAGCCCAAUGUUAACAUGACGUUAUGGACUACUCGUUAACUUUUAAGUGGCAACUUUUUAUAAAUAAAUAUUGACGGUAAACUAUCGUGUAAAACAAUAAAUCUACCUUAGGGCCAAUUUACAGUUCACAUGAAAUUCUAAUAACCGUCACAUAUUUAUUAUAUAUCAACCACAAAUUCAAAUAAAGGUAUAUUCCAUCUCAAGAUAUCGGGCACUCCAUUAAUAACUUAUCUUUGGACAAUGAUAUUAACUUGUAAGUGAUAUCUUGGUGUAGUAAUCAAACACUGACAAUAAGAGCACAUCGAAUAAUAAUUCUACCUUAGGGCCAAACUAUUAUUCACAUGCAAAACACCAAAUAAUCGCCACGCGUUUACCACCACAAUGUGCACAUGCAAUUCUGCAAAGUAUUGGCCUUCCUUAGGGCCGACACAAUACCCACAUUAUUACAUGCACAAAACCUUUUGUAUUUUAAAAUAAAUUAAGUUUCACAGGAGAGCUCACUUAGGCGAGAUGCCGCUUCUCUUAAUUCAUAUCAAAAUACAUAAACCAAACCAAUAUUUGAAUUUUAACUGGAUUUAAGCCUUUAGACUUUCUCAAACAAUCUUUAGUCAGAGGCUUAAUUAAAUUACCUUAUGAACCCAAAUUUCACGUUAUUUAGAUUUAAAGUCAAAAUAAAGUCGACUAGAAAUCUUCACUUUAUAACCCAAAGAUGAGCCUAAACCAUAAAUCAUAAAAAUUCAUAUUUAUUUGAAUUUGAGCUUAAAGUACAAAAAUGAGCUCACAAAUUCAACCUUAUUAGAUUUAAAGCCAACAAUAAAUUUCGGACAAAUAAAUUCAAAUUCUUAUGAAUUUUCACAAUACAAUGAAGACUCAAAUUUAUAAAAAAGUCACGAGUCUACGUGCCAAAUAUCGAUUGGGUCAAAGCUUAUUGAGUUAUACAUGAUAACCCAUACAUAUAUUGACAAACAACCAUUACUUUAAUGAGUCAAAACCUAUUGAAUUAUAAUAAUUCAUAUCCAUAAUUUGACUAUUUAAUCCAAAUUUCAAUCCAAAAAAAAGACCCGAACUUUAGAAAUAUGAAAAUUCCCCAAAAUAAAAUGCCUCAGGAAACUAAAUUGAAAUUCAAACUGAAUCUCACUUUAUUGACCAAACAAGUUCUUAAAGAGAAUUAAAAAAUAAUUCACUUAUUCGUUUGAUUCUUCACAAUAACUUUAAUUUCAAGUGGCCCCAAAACCUUUUGUAAAAAACUUAAAAUCAAUUUUCCAUUCCUUAAAAAAUUGCAUUUGCCCCAAAUUCAGAAAAGCCAAAAAAAAACUUGAAGGACUGAAUAGAAAUUUUGAAAGAAAAGCUUUUGAGUGAAAAGGGACCUAAGAUUCAGAAAUACUUAUAUUGGGGGUUAAAAUAUAUUUUCUGAAUGUAAAUCACAGUUUUGAGAGAAACUUUAAAGCUGGGGACUGAAAUGCACUUUUCGGAAGCUUUAGGCCCAAAAUCAGAUUUUCAUUUAUUACAAAUCACCCCGGCCCAAAAUCAGGAAUAACUUAAAUUUGGAGACCAAAUUAAAAUUUCAGAGAAUUUCAAUUACAACCUCAGGGGGCCAAAUUUUAAUUUCAUAAACCAUAAAUUCCUUGACCUAAUCCAAAUCCACAAAGCGGCCGUGCAAAUUAGCAGAACAUAAAUGGGGGACUUAAUAGCAACUUUAAUGAACCUUAACGUGGUAAAUUGCAAUUUCGCAAAAACUUAAUCAACCUAAUUUUGCUUCUUCAGCAAACAAACCGCCGUCACACACCUUCUGCCAUCAAAACCGCCGCUAGACCACCAUAUCACCCCGUCUCGCCUGAACUAUUGCCGGAAGAGGAAAAUUACUGUUGUGACCUCGCAUCAUCGCGUAUCUAGAACCCGUCGCGAAGAGGAGCGCGGUUACUAUCCCCUCCGUCGGCGUCAUAGCAGGGCUGCAGUAUGUGGGUUUGAUGGUGGUGGGCGGCGUGGCCAUAUAACAUAUACCAGUUGGUUGCCGCCCCUUAUUGCGAGGUGUUGAGUUUUGACAGAAAAAAAAAACUAAUCGACCGCCGCACCAGUCCUUGAUCCUUAAUUUUCAGAUUUGAUUCCUUUAACCUUAAUUCUUAUUCUUAAUGAAUGAAUCCUUAAAACUUUAAUCCGAAUUUUCAAAUUCAGGCAACAAUUGUGCAAUUCACUUAAUAUGGAUAAAAUAUCAUAUAUAAUCAUGAAACCCUAAUUCAGAAAAGCUACUACCUAAUACAAGGCAACAGGUUUCAUAAUAUUAAUAUAAACAUAUCUAAUUCGAGAUUAAAACCUAAUUGCAGAACGUACUGAAUAUCAUAUAAAUAUCUGGCCGAAACUUUGAAAAUUAAAUUCAUGAAAAACAUAGAUUUCUCGUAAUAACAACUUGACGAGAAUUGUUAAAAUUCUCGAUGAUUCAAAACAUGGUGGCUCUGAUACCACUUGUUGGAAUAAACUUGAAUAAAUCCCAUGGAACCGUCAUGCCGAAUCAUCAAGAAUAUUGUGCAUAAACUUAAAUCGGAAGCGUACCUUACUCCGGUGGAAUUGAUAUGAAACGAUCAUGGAUCUUCCAGAUCAUCAUGUACAUCCGAACCCGAGAACCCUUUAGACUUCUCUUUGUUUUCUUUAUGUCGAUGGAAUACAUAGAGAAUGGAAUUCGUACAUGUGACCCGGGGACCAUGACCAAUAUAUAUAGAUAACCUAAUGGGCUAUCUUGUGUAAUUUUAUUUUAGCCCAUCACUAUAAUAAAAUUACCCUAAUGUCUCUACACAUUAAAGGCCCACACCCUAUUAGACACAUUAAAGCCCAAUCCAAAUAAACUUUAGUCGAUCACUUUAACGGGCUUAACUUUACGUGACAGUCUUGCAACACAUAAUAUUUCACAUAUAAGUCCAACGUUGGAAUAAUGUUCCAACAAAAUUAUCUAUAUAUCCAAAUCAAAUCAAGGCUCUUGAUACGAGCAUAAACUAUCUAUAUAUCCAAAUAAAGUCAAGGCUCCUCGAUACGAGCAUAAACUAUCUAUAUAUCGAAAUCAAGUCAAGGCUCCUUGAUACGAGCGUAAACUAUCUACAAAUUCAAGUCAAAUGCUCCUUCAGCACGAGCUUAAACUGCAAAUGUUUCUCCUUGUCCACAUGAGUGUAAACUGUGCAUGACAUCCCUCAAAAGGAUAUAUUUUGAACUACGUUACGACUUGAUCCCUCUAUAGGGUACGUAGGCAACUUAGACUCUCUCUAAGUCCAGUCAUGAUUUCAAAAGAUGUAUGUGCUUUUCUAGAUCAAGCUGCAAUUGAAGUUAAGCAAUUAUCGAGACUCAUUCACUCCAAGACGCAUUGUCCGUGAAUAAGUCUCGAAGGGGCAUUUGUAGACACAUAAAUUUAAUAUAAUUUAUAUUAUAUUAAAUUGAAUCCCAAGAUUAUAAUUUAUCUUGCAAAAUAAGUCAUGGAGAUAAUUAUCAAUUAAUUAUUGACCAAUAGGAUUGUUUCUUCUCUUCCAAGUUAUAAGAGAUAAAUAUCAAUUUAAAGAGAGCCAAUCAAAUCGCACCACGUCAUCAAGAAGACUUCAUGUAGGACUCUUAUUCUACCACUAUAAAUAGGGACCCUCCCUACACAAUUCAAGACACAACUCAAGAAGAAUAAAAAUCGUAGGAGAAAAUUCUCUCUACAACAUUCAAGUCAUCUUCAUCAAAUUCAAGGCGUUCUUCAUCAAAUCGAGGGCGUUCUUCAACAAAUCAAGAUCGAAGGAAGAUCGAAGGGCCAAAUCCAUCAAGAACUCCAAGAUCUUCAAGUCAAAACCCGUCAAAGUUCAAUAAAUCAAGAUCGAAUGAAGAUUGAAGGGCCAAAUCCAUCAAGAACUCCAAGAUCUUCAAGUCAAAACCCGUCAAAGUUCUGCGUUCGAUCCGAGAUUCAAGUCGCAAGACCCUCGGAAGACGUUAUUCAAGUUCAAAAUCAAAUCCGGAGCAGAUCAAGUCAACAACCCGACUCCGAAAUUCAAAGUCAAUAUAUAUUGUUCUUGAGAGAAGAAUCAGAGGAUUAAAUUAGAGUUUGUAACCCGCAAUAUUUUAUUUUAAUUCAAUAAAAUUAUCUUUGUGCAAGUUUUUCUUGUUUGUUUAAAUUGCAGAUAAGAAUUUUGUUGCUACAGUAUAAUCUCCCCUCUUAUCAGUAUUUUUUUUUUCGGAAAAAGAAAGUAAACAAUAGGGGCACUCUUUCCUUGAUAGGUGAAACUUUGAUUUAAGAAGGCCUUUGAUGCAAUAAAACUUUUAUGUUUGGCCCAAAUAUAAUCUAAAUAACACACCUGCCUAGUUGCCAAAAAAGUCCAUGUGUUGAAACAAUCAGCAAGAACUCCCCUAUUAAAGUUAGUCAAUGCAGUAAGGCCCUUCCAAGUUGAUGGUGGCAUACGCUCGCGAAAUAUGCGACUGGGGGUUGGUUUUUUAACUUGAAAAGACUGAACUACUCUUUAAUUUAGAAAUUUGGAAAACAAGCCUCAAAAUGAAGUUCUCAAUUAAUAUUUUCAAUUAAGUUCCCUUCAAUUUCAGAAAAGCCCUCUUCUCCCUUAUGUCAGGGACUGUUCUGCAAUUUUUCAUUCAGGCAACAAGUCAUGAGUCCUUUAGUUUCGGUCGCAGCUCCUUUACGACGAAAGGCAAAACUCCGAUGACUCUUCCACGGUAAAGAAAGAUGAUUCAGAUGAUUGCUUUGUAAAGCACAUUUCAACUCACUCUUCUCUCUAAAUUUUCAAGCCUCAAGCUCUCUUGAAAAACAAAAAACACCCAGAUUUGAGCCUCAAACUAUGUUCUGAUCAAGAUCCAAAAAAAUCUAACAGGGGAAAAAGAAUAAUCUUCAAGCUCGUUUUUUUACUGCAAAAACCUCAGCAACAACCCGUGCAAAUUCGCCACAAGAAAACAGAUCUCAAACCCCUUGAAAAUCCGAGGAAACAUCUGGCCCGGUCGAUAUUUUCAGAAAAAAACACAAAUAAUUUGAGAUUUUCAGAACAACAAUCCGUGAACAAAUACUAAUUUUCGUGUUUUUCCAGUGGCUUCCCCGACGUCCCUCUGUCUUUUUUCCCUUUAUUAUUUAAAAUUGAAUUGUUUAAAAUUUACUGAGGUAGUUUAUUCUUUUCACGAAAGUCAGCAGACAAUUUUGAUGCAAGGACCCGUAUGCGCUGCAAAACACGACGUAAGGGGGUUUUCGUUAAUUUUUUUUAACAGAUGGGCUUUUUGGACAAUAUAAUUAGAGAUAACGCAGGUCUAUGCUAAUUAGGGGUGAAUACGGCCGGGUUUGAGCGGGUUUCGGUAAAAAAUCAACCCGACCCGAGUUGUGCGGGUUGACAAAUUAGCAAACUGCAACUGCUAAUUUCUAUACACAAACUGCUGGGUUCGGGUGGCGGUCAGGUCUGGCAGGUGGCGGUCGGGUGGCGGGCUGGUUCAACAAAUAUCCAAUACCAAAGAAAGUUUUGACAAAAUUUAAUCCAAUUCAUUUCCAAAAAAAAUCCUUUAAAAAAAAAUCUUCCAAAGAAAAUGACAUCAUUCACGAAAGAAUUGUCAACCUCCUUCAAUUUUUUAUAGUUCUCCCACUGUUUCCUCACCUGCUCCUUUUUCCUCUCUUUUGUCCAUUUUCUAUUUUUCUUUCUUUUUUCUUUUUAUUUUUUGCUCUACAAACAGUCGGAUAGCUUCUCGUCGAAAUUUGCCAUCACUUUAUGCUUGACAUUGCUAAAUGAGAAUGACAAUAGUUUUGAAGUGCGCUCCACCGAUGUCGUACACUAUUUUUAUGGCGAUCGAUAACAUAAAAAUAUUGGCUGGAAAAUAAAUAUGUGAGAGAAGCAACCAUGAAAUAGAUAAAGAGAAGACAAGAAGAGGCGCUCGACAGGGGAGGCGCAAAUAAAGUGCAAAUCCCUAGAUUUCCCUAAUUAUUUGAUAUUAUAUAUAUUUGUAUGAGUUGUAUGCGGGCGGGUCGGGUGGGUUGCGGGUUGUAAUUGUCAAACCUGCUACCCGACCCGUUCUGCUCGGGUGUUCAUUUUGCCAAGCUGCUGGGCAUAAUUUUGUAGGUAAAAAUUGCGGGUUUCGGGCGGGUCGGUUCGGGUCGGGCGGAUCGGGCGGGUUUAUGUUCACCCCUAUAAAUGCGCUAAUACCUCAUUUAUUUUAUGACACCCCUUAUAUAUUUAUUUUAUUAAUUUCACAUUCCUCUACAAGAAACAACAUGUAGGGGUACAUCAGUCUGACAAAAAAGUGAGGAUAGUCAUUAGCCGCAUAAGCUACAGAUGAACAUAGAACGAGCUCGAACUUCGUCGGCCAUCUGUAACCUUUGUUUCAACUAUUUGUUUUGGUAAAAUCCCAAUUAGAAGACUUUCAUUAAAUAUUAAGAAAUAUAAAUACAUUCAGCUGUGACAAAUUGUCUUCAUGUUUAGAAUUUAAUAUUUUGUAUUUAGAACUAAUUUGUUUGAGAUGCAUAAGUCCAUUUCUCUCGUUGUGUUUUUCAAAUUUUAAUUGCGCAGCAGCCGGAGUUCCCUUGUAUUCUCCUAAUUCACAAAACAAGUUUUAAAGAGGAUCAUAUCAUAUAUCAUAAAAGGCAUGCAGCUCUAGUUUCUGUUUUUAAUUUGUUAAUGCAAAUUUAAAACACUGACAUUGGUACUUUGCAAUUAUAUUUAGGUGCAAAAUUAGAGUUUCUAGACAAAAAAUUGAAUGGCCAUUUAGGCCAAUUUGAAAGGCCGGCUUACGUCGUGGUUGGUGCAGCGUAUUAGUCGAAACAAAUAGCUAAUCGAUGUUCUAAAAAAAUUAAUAAUUCAGGGGUUUUUGUUUAAUUUGGUAUCAAGACUUGGCUAUAUAAUAACUUUCGUGAUACGUCGGUAUUUUCGUAUUGAUCCAUAUUGGUUAGGUGAUUGACAAUAACUAACCAUGACGGCAACUUGCUGUUGCCAAUUAACAAGUAACAACCAUAUGUCCGUUGUAUGUAAUUGACUAAUCAUACAAUAUGUUAGGUAAAUAUGUUUACUCAAAAAAAAUUGUUAGGUAAGUUUGUUAGGUGAGUGAUAUCAAUCAACAAUGGACAACUUGUCAAUUGUCAUUUGCAUUAUUCUCUUAAUGUAUAUAUAUAUUGUCUAUCGGUAGUGGCGACUCCAGAAAUUCGGUAUACGAAAUUGUUGGGGGUUCCCAAAAAAAUUUAGGACAUUUUUUCUUAUGCAUAAAUUAGGACAUAAUCAUAAAACAUGAAAGGAAAAAAAAAAGGAAACGAUAAUUUUAAUCAUUAUUUAACAUAUAAUGACGAGUUCAUAUAUAUUGUUAGACCUUGAGAAACUUUAUCGCGCACUUGAAAUAUUUGAAUGAGUGAUUGUGGGAUUCAAACUCAUGACUCGAAUUCAGAACCUUUUCAUUUGAACUGGCUCUGAUACCAUGUUGAAUGAUCAUCUCAACCAAAAACUUAAGCCGUUAGUGAAAUGUAUUAUUUAAUAUUAAUAUCUCCAAUAACAUAUACAUGAACUUAUUAGAAUUUCAAAUUUAUUGCUUACCCUUAAGAUAAUGAUCAACUUAAUUUCGAGGUAAGUACCUAUCCACGUCCUACACGUCAGUGACAAUUAUUUGCUCUAGUUAAUAGACAGUUUUUUUAGUUAGUCGAUUGAGUUAUUUGCUUAGUCGACAAAGGUUUUCUAGUUAGUUGCUAAUUAUUUGAUUUAGCAGAAUGCAACAGUAAGUUAUAUUUUCAUCGGCAAAAAAAAGGCGCAAGUCCAGACAAUUUUGAGCAAUAAGUCUUUCUCGACGAAGAGUAAUGGUAGGUGAUCAUUUGUUGAGCUCGAUUCCAUUACCUGAAGUUAGGCGGAACAGUUUAUUUGGUGGAAACACAUUUCUAUUUUUUCCAUUAUUACCACGAACAUCCUCGAAACUUUUAAAUAUUUACGGAAAUGACCCCGAAAUGUUUCCGACAAAUGUCAUGGUGUUUCUAUUUCCAAAAUGCAAAAACGUGUUUACCGAAGUUUCCGUGCACCAUAGCGUUUCAUUUAUGGGAUUUUAUAAUUUUCGGGAUGAAAUUGUAAGAUUAAAGUGAAAUUGAGGCUGAAUCAAGUAAAUUGGAUUAAUGUAUCAAACUGCACAUGGAAAAUGUCAAUCGAGGAACAUAUUACAUAAUUGACCUUGGGAGAAAGAGAAAGAGAGAGAAGCAUACGUUGGAUGUUAGAUAUUUUUUAAAAGGAUAAAUUUCACUUGUUGGAUGUUAGAUAUUUUUUAAAAGGAUAAAUUUCACUUUCCCCCUUUUAUUAUGGUUCAAUAUCACUUUACUCUCUUUCACUCUUAAUUGCAUUGAUUUGACCCUAUAUACUUAGAAAAUUGUCUCAAUGUUGCCCUUACCGUUAGUCUCUAGACAUUUGACCUUAACACCAUUUGAUCUAAGUCUCAAAGUUACAAAAAAACCACACCUCCCAGUUUAAAUAAUAAUUUAUUUUUAAAAUUUAAUUUUUUUUAAUAAAAAUUAAAAAUAAAUUGUGGUUGCCGUCGUGGACUAUGCUUUCUCGUUGUCUUGGAAUUUUUUUUAUUAUUUUUUAUUUUUUAUUUUAAUAAUUAUUUAAACUGGGAGAGGUGGCGUUUUUGUAAUUUCAGAGCUUAGACCGACUGUGUUAAGGUUAAAUGUCUUACAACUAACAGCGAGGGGCACAUUGAGAUAAUUUAUCAAGUACAGGAUGCAAUCGAAAAUAUAAGGAUUUAAAUUGAUACCAUGUCAAAGCACAAAUGUGGAAAGUGAAAUUUACACUUUUUAAAACUGAAGACAAAAGGUUGACAAACGUCCCUGUCAAGAAUUAUUAUACCUGUUGUUCAAGUAAUUCUCAUCUUCAACUUUCUUGUGCAAUACUCGACUCAACUUCCUUUUUGUCUUGUUUGUUCGAUGUCGAUCCUAAUAUUUCAGUUAAUAGACGGUUUUUUUAGUUAGUCGAUUGAGUUAUUUGCUUAGUCGGUCGACUAAGGUUUUUUAGUUAGUUGCUAAUUAUUUGAUUUAGCAGAAUGCAACAGCAAGUUAUAUUUUCAUCGGAAAAAAAAAGGCGCGAGUCCCGACAAUUUUGAGCAAUAAAUCUUUCUCGACGAAGAGUAAUGGUAGGUGAUCAUUUGUUGAGUCUCUCAAUUUCAUUACCUGAAGUUAGGCGGAACAGUUUAUUUGGUGGAAACACAUUUCUAUUUUUUCCAUUACUACCAGGAACAUCCUCGAAACUUUUAAAUAUUUACGGAAAUGACCCCGAAACGUUUCCGACAAGUGUCGUGGUGUUUCGAUUUCCGAAAUGCGAAAACACGUUUACUGAAGUUUCCGUGCACCAUAGCGUUUCAUUUAUGGGAUUUUAUAAUUUUUUGGGAUGAAAUUGUAAGAUUAAAGUGAAAUUGAGGCUGAAUCAAGAAAAUUGGAUUAAUGUAUCAAACUGCACAUGGAAAAUGUCAAUCGAGUAAACAUAUUACAUAAUUGACCCCGGAAGAGAGAGAAAGAGAGAGAAGCAUACGUUGGAUGUUAGAUAUUUUUUAAAAGGAUAAAUUUCAGUUGUUGGAUGUUAGAUAUUUUUAAAAAGGAUAAAUUUCACUUUCCCUGUAUUAUGCCUCGAUAUCACUUUACUCCCUUCUACUCUCAAUUGCAUCGAUUUGACCCCAUAUACUUGGAAAAUUGUCUCAAUGUGGCCAUUGACGUUAGUCUCUAGACAUUUGACCUUAACACUAUUUGAUCUAAGUCUGAAAAUUACAAAAAAAAUCAUACCUUCCAGUUUAAAUAAUUAUUAAAUUUUUUUAAAUAAAAAUUAAAAAUAAAUUGUGGUUGCCGUUGUGGACUAUGCUUUCUCGUUGUCUUGAAUUUUUUUUUUUAUUAUCAUUAUUAUUAUUAUUAUUAUUAUUAUUAUUAUUAUUAUUAUUAUUAUUAUUAUUAUUAUUAUUAUUAUUAUUAUUAUUAUUAUUAUUAUUAUAUAUAUAUAUAUAUUUUUUUUUUUUAAUAAUUAUUUAAACUGGGAGAGGUGAUGUUUUUGUAAUUUCAGAGCUUAGACCGAACUGUGUUAAUGUUAAAUGUCUGACAACUAACAACGAUGACCACAUUGAGACAAUUUUUCAAGUACGAUGGCCCAAAUCGAUGCAAUCGAUAAUAUAAUGGUGUAAAGUGAUAUCGAGCCAAAGUACAAAUGUGGAAAGUGAAAUUUACCCAUUUUAAAACCGAAGACAAAAGGUAGAUAAACGUCUCUGUCAAGAAUUAUAAUAGCUGUUGGACAAAAAUGGAUAUUCAGCGUUUCAAUUUUUCUUCCUUUCACAUUUGUCAUUGAAAAAUCAACCAUUGAGUUUCUCCUUAAAUAACUUUUGAGUUCGGAAACACUAAAUUAAUCUUCUUCUCUUAGAUAAUUCUCUUGCAUAGUUAUAAUUUCACAAACAAAUGCUUAUGUAGAAGAGUUUUUCCAGUUCACUGAAAUUAGUUGUGUGAGAUCUGAGAGAGAGAGAGAGAGAGAGAGAGAGAGAGAGAGAGAGAGAGAGAGAGAGAGCAUUGAAAGAGAUGGCUUAUGGUGCUGCUGGUAGUCUGGAGCUGACAAUUGAGCGGCUUUUGAAAUCAUCUUAUAUUUCGAUUGUUCAAAAUUCAUCUCCACAAAUCAUCAAACUUUUGUACAAAGAGAUUCUUUCCUUAAAAGAAGCUCUCAGAGUAUUCGAUAAAAAGAGGAGCACCAUCAACAUGAAGAUGGUGAAAAGUUUGGAGGCGGAAAUGGUAGAGGCAAUAUACAAAUUCGAAGAUGUAAUUGACCCUCAUCUCUCAAAUCAGUUCCAUUCACAAUCUGAAGAAGAAGAAGAGACGGCCGAUCAUCCUCCAUCAAUGGUGUACUCAGUAGAUGUGCAGGAAAUACAGCAAGAUGUCGAUUCCUUUAUCCAAACAAUGAACAUUAUGAAGAGGGCCUACAUCCAUGAGUUAUGCAACCCUUCGCCUGAAGAAGAAGAAGAUGGUGUUGUCCCGUCAAGAAUCGAUUUUGGUAUAAAUGAGUCUAACAUGGUUGGUUUAUCUGAUCUAUUCGUGACAAUCAAAGAUCGGCUUGAUUCCGAGCAAUCUGAAAGGAUGAUCGUCUCGCUCGAUGGGAUGGCGGGCAUUGGUAAGACUACUCUUGCCAAGAAACUCUUUCAAGAUCCAUUCAUUGUGAGUUGUUAUAGCAGGCUCGUGUUCGUGACCAUAGGCCCUAAAUAUCGACUAGCGGAUAUCUUGGUGGAUAUUCUAACACAAGUGAAUCCCGACAUUGAUGAAAUAAUGCUUAUGAAAGGAGAAAAAGUAUUAGCUGGAUUGAAAAGAAUGGUUUACGAAAGUUUAAAGCAUUUGAGAUUCUUGAUCGUGUUGGAUGAUGUAUGGGAAAUAGACCUCUAUUUUGUGUUGUUGGAGUUAUUUCCAGACGAGAAAAAGGGAAGUCGAGUGUUGGUCACAACUAGGAUGAAAGAAGUAGCUGACUCUGUUAAGCCUUUGAAUAUUUUCGAAAUACCAUUUCUUAAUAAGAAAGAAAGUUGGGAUCUUCUUCGUGAGAAGGUGUUUGGUGAACAAGAGUCAUUACCUUACGAACUUGAAAAAGCUGGAAAGAAGAUUGCCGAGAAUUGUGAAGGUCUUCCACUAACAAUAGUUACAGUUGCCAACAUCCUUUCCAAAGCUGACAAGACUUUAGAGUACUGGAACAAAGUAGCUGACGAGAAACAAAAUUCGGUUUACAAGGAUGCAUAUGAUCAAAUGUCAAAGGUACUAUAUCCAAGCUAUGACUACUUAGAUCAACAUUUAAAAGCAUGUUUUCUCUAUAUUGGAGCUUUCCCACAAAAUUAUUCGCUAAACCUGCCCCAACUAACCAACUUGUUGAGUGCUGAAGGAUUUCUUAACUCAGAAUCAAUGUAUUACUAUGCGCCGACCAAUAAUUAUGCAUAUGAUAGCUAUGGAUAUUUUGAUGACCUUUAUGCCACAAAUGUUAUCGUGCGCAAUGAAACAUUUGAUUUUCACCUUCAUUCGUCCUUUUGGUACUUGUGUAACAAAGAAGCUGCCAGGACCAAGUUUUUCUAUGCCUUAAAUUGCCAUGGCGAUACUCUACCGGAAGAAGGUAUAGAAAGCCAGCGCCGAUUGUGCAUCCGUAAUAAUGUUCUACUUGCCAUCAAAGAUGUGCACAACUCAAUUGCAUCUGAUUCAAAGGUACGAUCUUUCCUUUGUACCGGUUAUUUUCAUAAAUAUCCAGUACCGCUGUUUUUGGAACAUUUGAGGUUGCUGAGGGUAUUGGAAGCUCGUUCUAUUAGAUUCUAUGAGUUCCCGAUGGAAGUAUUGAAACUAGUUCAAUUAAGAUACCUCGCCCUCCUUUAUAAUGGAAACCUCCCUUCUUCCAUUUCCAAACUCUGGAACCUUCAAUACUUGAUUGUUUUUCAACAUCCAAGGAUAGUAAAAUCUGUUGGGAAUCUAUUGUAUCUGCCUAUUGAGAUAUGGAAUAUGAAUGAAUUGAAGUAUCUUCAAACCUACGGAAGAGAGCUACCACAUCCUUGUUGUGAAGGAUCUCUCAUACCAAACCUCUUAAACCUAAGUGGUGUCGGUCCUCAAAGUUGUGCCAAAUCUGUGCUCGAAAAAAUCCCUAAUUUGAAGG